RNAcentral lists this long non-coding RNA (72791 nucleotides) under Solanum tuberosum (potato). RNAcentral's name for it is "long non-coding RNA (STUB_LNC011940)". The record is from RNAcentral. Lineage: Eukaryota; Viridiplantae; Streptophyta; Magnoliopsida; Solanales; Solanaceae.
UUUAUUUUUUUGUUUCAAAGUUCUUUUUUAAUAAUAAUCCAUAUAAAGGCUUGUAUGUCCCCUCCACUUUCAUAUGCUUCCACUCCUCAUUUUCCUUUUUCGACUUUUUUGGAUAGAGGAUCUAUCGAAAUAAUUUAUCGAUCUUCAUAAGAUAAUAAUAAGAUUGUGGAUAUUUAUCAUUUUUAGAUCGAUCGACUUCACUUAUGAAAUUAUUGUAAAUAUAGUAUUCUUAUUGUUUGGAUAUUAGAAUAUUGAUCAAUUUAUAGUUACAACAAUCUAAUUAUAAGUCAAGUGGGAUAUGUAUAAAGUAAUCAAAAAAGAAUUCUAUUUUUUUUUACGUAAUUUUCCAUUUUGAUAUAUAAUCAGAGACCUCACUCGUGAAGUAAAUAACAAUCAUGUGCAAAUAAUACUAUGAUAAUAAUAAAAUUAAAUAGAGAUAUUGUCCAUUCGAAUAUCAAGGAUCCAAGGAAAAUUCACCUUAUUCAUGUUUCUUAUAUGCUAAAGCACCACAACUAAAAAGAUUGAUUCAUUUAAUAUUUGAAAUGUCUAUUUCUACAUUACUCUUAAUGAUAUACUUUUAUUAAAAAGAUCGACGUAUAUUUAUUAUGGACUUAACUAAAAUAUAUAGUUAACUUAGCAUUAAAGUUCUUAUUCUAGGCCAUAAGAGCAUAAAAUCACAAUAUUUUUUUAAAAUUGCAAUAUUGUUAUUUCUCUUAGAAAAAUAUAAAUAAUAUUUAACUUAACAAGAAAAUAGAACCCCCUCCCCACCCCCACCCCCANNNNNNNNNNNNNNNNNNNNNNNNNNNNNNNNNNNNNNNNNNNNNNNNNNNNNNNNNNNNNNNNNNNNNNNNNNNNNNNNNNNNNNNNNNNNNNNNNNNNNNNNNNNNNNNNNNNNNNNNNNNNNNNNNNNNNNNNNNNNNNNNNNNNNNNNNNNNNNNNNNNNNNNNNNNNNNNNNNNNNNNNNNNNNNNNNNNNNNNNNNNNNNNNNNNNNNNNNNNNNNNNNNNNNNNNNNNNNNNNNNNNNNNNNNNNNNNNNNNNNNNNNNNNNNNNNNNNNNNNNNNNNNNNNNNNNNNNNNNNNNNNNNNNNNNNNNNNNNNNNNNNNNNNNNNNNNNNNNNNNNNNNNNNNNNNNNNNNNNNNNNNNNNNNNNNNNNNNNNNNNNNNNNNNNNNNNNNNNNNNNNNNNNNNNNNNNNNNNNNNNNNNNNNNNNNNNNNNNNNNNNNNNNNNNNNNNNNNNNNNNNNNNNNNNNNNNNNNNNNNNNNNNNNNNNNNNNNNNNNNNNNNNNNNNNNNNNNNNNNNNNNNNNNNNNNNNNNNNNNNNNNNNNNNNNNNNNNNNNNNNNNNNNNNNNNNNNNNNNNNNNNNNNNNNNNNNNNNNNNNNNNNNNNNNNNNNNNNNNNNNNNNNNNNNNNNNNNNNNNNNNNNNNNNNNNNNNNNNNNNNNNNNNNNNNNNNNNNNNNNNACGCCCACCCACCCACAACACCAAUAACACCACAAAAAAUAUCUCUAAGCAAAUGUAAUUAAUUAAAGCUUAAGUCAAACAAGAAUUGUCUUUUAUGUAGAUACAAUUAAAUUUGAUUACGUAGACUACACCUAAUUCCAAAAUUAUUGUUUAUUAGUAUUUUUUAUUGCAAUACAGAUAGAUUCAAAAUUUAAAAUUUAUAAGUUUUUAUAAUAACUUUAAAUUAAAUAAAUAUACGACAAUAAUUAAAUUUCAUCAUCAAAUAAUUAUUAUCAAUCACUUUAAUAUACGAUAAUAAUUGAAUUUCGAUAAACCCGCACAUGAUAAUCUGGAUCUGCCAUUGCACAACAAUAGCAACUUUUGUAUAUUAAUUAAAUUGAAAAAAAGAAAAGAAUAUAAUAGAAGUGGUAAGCUGAGUAGAUGGAUAAAGUUUUUGUUAGUUCAACAUAGUUCAUAAAAGUUUUUGUCAAAGGUUGGAUAAGAUAAUAUAAAAAUAAUAAUUUAUAUAUACUGACAAAUAAUAUAUAUUAAAAAAUAUAUAUAUUAUCAGGUUAUAUUUAAUUUCAAGAUUAAAAAACUUUAAUUUAAGUGAAAGGUUUUUUACACGUAUCUUUUGAAUAUUUUUAAUUAAUAUAUAAGUUAAAGUCAAAGAAAAUACUAACAAAAAUUGUGAUAGAAUGAAUAAGAUACUCUUAUAUUAUAAAUUGAAUAUCGGAUGAAAAAAAUACAUCUCACACAACACAAAUUUAAAUUAAUUAAGAUUUCAAUAUUAGUCUAGCUUAAGAUAACUAUUUUUAAGAAAUUGAUCUAUUAAUUUCCUUUCCAUAUUGAAGCAUUUUAGUUCCAUAAUGGUAAUAUUUUUUUGGGAAAAGGGACAAAUAUAUCCUCGAACUAUCGUAAGUGGUAUGCAGAUACCCUUCAUCAUACUUUUGGGACAUUGGUGCCCCUGUCGUCCAAAAACUAGAGUAUAUAUAUACCUUGUAUACUAACGGACAUACAUGUGUCAUGAUCUUAUUCACUGAUCCGACAUUUAUUAAAUAUCGGAUCGACGGAUAAGAUUGCGCUUUGUGUCCCUAUUUAGUCUUCCAUUAGAGUGAAGGGCAUGUAUGCUCUAGUUUUUGGACAGCAAAGGCACCAAUGUCCCAAAAGUAUGACGGAGGAUAUCUGCAUACCAUUUACAUCAAUUCAGAGGUAUAUUUGUCAUUUUUCCCAUUUUUUUUCUAAAUGCAUUUUGUCUUCUUAUAUUUUUUUUUCUCCUUUUUUUAUGUAAAGAUGAAGAGGAAUUGGCUUUUCAUUUAUUUCACUAUCUUUGCUUUAUAUGCAUACACAUUAAUUUCAAAAAGGUGUGUUUACGUAAGCCAUUUUCGACUUUUAUGGGAUAGAUGAAGCAUUAACUUGAAGUCGUUGUAGAAAAAUUCAUAAUUUUUAAAUGUUGAAUCCAUUUAAGGUCAACGCCACACAUGAAUUAUUUAAUGGGUAAAAUAUGGGGCAUGUGAAUCCGUAGUCUCUCAGUAAAACAUGAUAUUUUAUGUAUAUAUCUUCUAAAAUUGAUACUAUAAUAUUAUCUCUUGACGUUCAUGCUAUAAGAAGGUUAAAUGGUGUACUAGAUUGAACGUCAAGUUACUUACGUAGAGACCUAGAAAUCAAUUUCUACUUAAUACUAAAAAUCCUAUAUUUAUCUCUAAUCAACGCGCGUAUACGAAUCGCCGCAUACACUACUGACAUAAGCAGCACUCCACAAUCAUCCAAAGCUUAUACUAAAGCAAGAAACUUAAAAACUUGAUAGUAAUGUCAAAAUAUUCCAGAAUUCUUGGAAUGGAUCCAUAUAGAAUUCAGUAAAAAAUGAUGUCAAAAUGCACUUUUUAGGUCCUGACAUGUGUUCCAAUUUCUAAUGAUCUCAUGCCUCUCAAGGUUCAGACACAUUACAACAAAUAAUAUAUUCAAUUCAAUAUAAUGUCACGCGUGAAAUAUGGAGUGAAAUAUAUGCAAACUACGAUAUAUCUUUCUGGUUGUGGGGUAGAGAGAUUGUUACCAAUAUAGACUCUCGGCUCAUAGUUUAGACACAUUACGACAACUACAACAUAUCCAGUGUGUGCAAUAAGCACAUAACACCACGACUCGAAUCUGAAAAAGGGUGAAAAUCAUUUACACCCCCAACUUUGCUCUAAAUAUCGUACUCCGUUUCCAACUUUGAACAAUAGACANNNNNNNNNNNNNNNNNNNNNNNNNNNNNNNNNNNNNNNNNNNNNNNNNNNNNNNNNNNNNNNNNNNNNNNNNNNNNNNNNNNNNNNNNNNNNNNNNNNNNNNNNNNNNNNNNNNNNNNNNNNNNNNNNNNNNNNNNNNNNNNNNNNNNNNNNNNNNNNNNNNNNNNNNNNNNNNNNNNNNNNNNNNNNNNNNNNNNNNNNNNNNNNNNNNNNNNNNNNNNNNNNNNNNNNNNNNNNNNNNNNNNNNNNNNNNNNNNNNNNNNNNNNNNNNNNNNNNNNNNNNNNNNNNNNNNNNNNNNNNNNNNNNNNNNNNNNNNNNNNNNNNNNNNNNNNNNNNNNNNNNNNNNNNNNNNNNNNNNNNNNNNNNNNNNNNNNNNNNNNNNNNNNNNNNNNNNNNNNNNNNNNNNNNNNNNNNNNNNNNNNNNNNNNNNNNNNNNNNNNNNNNNNNNNNNNNNNNNNNNNNNNNNNNNNNNNNNNNNNNNNNNNNNNNNNNNNNNNNNNNNNNNNNNNNNNNNNNNNNNNNNNNNNNNNNNNNNNNNNNNNNNNNNNNNNNNNNNNNNNNNNNNNNNNNNNNNNNNNNNNNNNNNNNNNNNNNNNNNNNNNNNNNNNNNNNNNNNNNNNNNNNNNNNNNNNNNNNNNNNNNNNNNNNNNNNNNNNNNNNNNNNNNNNNNNNNNNNNNNNNNNNNNNNNNNNNNNNNNNNNNNNNNNNNNNNNNNNNNNNNNNNNNNNNNNNNNNNNNNNNNNNNNNNNNNNNNNNNNNNNNNNNNNNNNNNNNNNNNNNNNNNNNNNNNNNNNNNNNNNNNNNNNNNNNNNNNNNNNNNNNNNNNNNNNNNNNNNNNNNNNNNNNNNNNNNNNNNNNNNNNNNNNNNNNNNNNNNNNNNNNNNNNNNNNNNNNNNNNNNNNNNNNNNNNNNNNNNNNNNNNNNNNNNNNNNNNNNNNNNNNNNNNNNNNNNNNNNNNNNNNNNNNNNNNNNNNNNNNNNNNNNNNNNNNNNNNNNNNNNNNNNNNNNNNNNNNNNNNNNNNNNNNNNNNNNNNNNNNNNNNNNNNNNNNNNNNNNNNNNNNNNNNNNNNNNNNNNNNNNNNNNNNNNNNNNNNNNNNNNNNNNNNNNNNNNNNNNNNNNNNNNNNNNNNNNNNNNNNNNNNNNNNNNNNNNNNNNNNNNNNNNNNNNNNNNNNNNNNNNNNNNNNNNNNNNNNNNNNNNNNNNNNNNNNNNNNNNNNNNNNNNNNNNNNNNNNNNNNNNNNNNNNNNNNNNNNNNNNNNNNNNNNNNNNNNNNNNNNNNNNNNNNNNNNNNNNNNNNNNNNNNNNNNNNNNNNNNNNNNNNNNNNNNNNNNNNNNNNNNNNNNNNNNNNNNNNNNNNNNNNNNNNNNNNNNNNNNNNNNNNNNNNNNNNNNNNNNNNNNNNNNNNNNNNNNNNNNNNNNNNNNNNNNNNNNNNNNNNNNNNNNNNNNNNNNNNNNNNNNNNNNNNNNNNNNNNNNNNNNNNNNNNNNNNNNNNNNNNNNNNNNNNNNNNNNNNNNNNNNNNNNNNNNNNNNNNNNNNNNNNNNNNNNNNNNNNNNNNNNNNNNNNNCCACCCGGAUUGGAGCAUGUAAAACAAUGAAUGUGUUUAUUCCUUUCAUACAUUGGAAUUGAAGAAAACUCAUUUGUGUGAAACAAAAAGAGUUGUCUCUUUUAUAACAACUUAAACAAAAAUGCUUAAAAAGCACUUAGGAGAAUACAAAUACAAGUCUAAAAAACAUGAAGAAUGAUCACAACAAAAUGGUUAACACAACACUUUGAUAAAAUGUUGAAGAGCAGGUAAAUUUUUGCUUGUUUGUUGCUAUUGAAAGCGUUUUCACUUGGUGUAGAGGACGUCUUCCCAUGGGUGACGGUAUAGAGGCUGUUUCAAUCUCUUCUGAUCGAACGUGUGUCUGAAAUUCAAACAAAAGGUUAUGGUUUCAAUUGUUUGACAUGACUAGAUUUCUGUUUAAUGUAGAUGAAUGGUUUAAUGGAAGUGUCAGCAUUUGAACUUACCCGAUAAGACCAAUGGAACGUGCCAGCACGAACAGUCCAUUGAGGUAACCGAUAUCUACUAUUUCAUCAAUUUCUGGCUUGGUGAACAUUCCACUUCCAGCAAGGAGAUCCAAGAAGAGGGAACCAAUGGCUCCGUCAACGUUGAGGACUAGGUUGUUUGCCUUUGAGAGUGUGUAGGUUUCAACUUGAACCGCGUAUUCCAUGUACUUAACUGAAGGGAAAUUUUCCCUCGCGUAGAGCUGAAGUAGUUCAACUCUCUUAUCUCUGUUGUCACCUCUCUUGAUCCUGUCACACGAGUAUUAGAUGCAACGCAUGAGAUGCACUCAAAGAGUCACACGAGUUUCCGAGCAUGUAAUGCUACAAUUUCGUUUAGCUUCUCCAACUACCAUUUCGGGGAACAAGUAUACGAUAUUAAAUGUUACAUCUAUAAUGAAGUACAAGAAACGCUACCUGUGUCCGAUUCCUGGCACUCUAAUGCCCUUCUUCUUCAUACUUUCAACAAAUUCAUAUGGUGUAAGACCCUACAAAAGAAGCAUUGCAAACGUUUAUUCAUCCAAACACUCAAAGGGAGUAGCGGGAACUGUUUCUACUCGACUAGUAGCUUAGAUUGUAAGGACUCACCCUGUCAUAAGCAUCCUUAAAGUAUCGGGCAGCAUCGUCAACAGCACCACCAAAUCGUGGACCAAUAGUCAACAACCCUGUCACCCAACCAAAUUAUUCCAAUUCCAAUUGAAUGAUAACCCGAUAACUACCUUAAAAAUAAAGUAUGACAUACCAGAUACAAGACAUGACACUAAGUCUUUUCCAGCCCUGGCAGUUACGAUGGUGUUGUGAGCACCAGAGACGCAGGGACCAUGGUCAGCACACAACAGAGUGCAAAUCUGCCAAGUCGAACCAACCACAAGAAAACGGAUGUUUAGAAACAGAACGGCGAGGGGGAGACCAUGUAGUCCAAUAUAUGCAAAUUUUAUGAUUUACCUCAAUAAAACGUGUACAAUAACGGGGGAGACUGCGUUUGAACCACAACAGAGAAAUGACAUCACCGACACCUAAUCCUUGCUCCACAAUAGAUGACAUGGGUACACCAGCAUAGCAUGGCUCUUCACCUAUAAAUAAGAAAUGGAAGAAUCAGCAUUGGUUUAGACUCUUAUUCAGCCACCGAAAGAAGCAAAACGACCCAAUGAUAAUUAGUCAAUGUCAGUCCAUACCUCUAUCAUCAGAUAUGGUGGAAAUAAUAUGUGUUGGGGCCCGAACUUUCCCGCUCUUAAUUGCAGUGUUGAGAUCCUCAGGAAUUUGUGGAGGCGUUAUUUCCUUUACAGGAGUUGUUUUGCCUUCCGAAACCUAUCAAAAUGAUCAGGUAAACCCAUUAAAACUAAGGCCAAGUGGAAGAAUUAUUAUUAUUGAGUGUGCUCAAUAUCAAGAGACUUACCAGCUUUUCAAAUGCUUCUUUGAUUGCUCCUUCAAAAGCUUCAUACGAAGUGGGAACCGUAGCCCCAGCAUCACUGAGAGCUUGAUUCUUAGCUUGUGCAGACUCCAUUUCACCACCACUCUUUGCACCCUAUUAAGAGAGUCUCGAGCAAAGUUAGAUUUAGGCGGAAAACUGUUUCACCAAAUCAGAGCUCAAUACAUCUUUUUCUUUUCAAGAAUUUAAUCAGCUCUUAAUACUUAAGAGAGACAUUAAUCUGCAUUUCACGAGAAAUGAGGGAAUGAAAGGAGAUAGCUCACCGCAUGUCCAAACUGUACUUCCGACUUAAAGAGUGUAGCACAAGUUCCGCUGACCCAGGCAACAACAGGCUUGUUGAUUUUCCCUUGUUUCAGGGCUUCAACUAAGGAAUACUCAUCUCGUCCACCAAGUUCCCCAAGUACAACAAUCAUUUUGACCUAAAGUUUACCAAAGCAUAAGAAAAAAAAAAGAUCAAAUUGUGCAAAAUGGCAAAAUAUAUAGUUGAUCAUGCCCCAUUAAGCUUUCAAGUCCUAUAAGAAUAGUGGAAUAAAAUGAGACAAUCGUAUUGUCUAGAAACGAGAAGUUUUGGCAACGGUUUCUCUUUUAUUCUAUCUUUUUGUUUCUCUUUGUUGUUUGUAAUUCCUACUUGUAUUCUUCUUAGAUAAACUAUUGCAGCUUGGUAGGAAAAACCUUGAGUUGUUCAUGUAUCUUUGUUUGGACAUCUACAUAUCUCACACAAUAACGGAAAAUUCUCCGUUCACAAGACUAGCAUGUCUUAAAAAGCUUCGGAUUGUUACAAGUAUGCUUAACUGUGAUAAAGCUAUAAAACUAGCACUUCACCAUGCACACACACAGAUGUCACUUGAAGAAUUAUUAGCAACAUGGCUACAGAAGAACUAAGUGCCAAGCAUUUUACAAAAAUCUCUUGCAUGGAUUUCACUUCAAAUCAAUUACCUGUGGAAUAUUGUUGAAGCGCAAAACAUGAUCAGAAAGGGUAGAGCCAGGAAAGACAUCCCCACCAAUUGCAAUUCCUGCGCAGACCAAAAAAUCACUCAAUAUUAUUUUUUAAAAUAUGAAUAAAUAUAAAAAUGUUCUAAAAGCAUAGAUUCAGGAUUUAGAAUGUCCAACCUUCAUAAACUCCAUCAGUCACACGGGCAAUUGUGUUGUACAGUUCAUUAGACAUACCACCCUAUAUAUUAAGAUAAAACUCAGUACUCAUGAAGCCACAAAACGUUGUCGUGCUGUUUUGAAACUCCAGCAAGAGUAGAUGAGUUAAGGGAAAAAGAUGAAAGACUUGCUAUGAUUACUCACAGAUUUGGAGACAAAUCCCACAGAUCCAGGCCUGUAAAGCUUGCACUGAAUAAUGUUAUCAAUUGUUCCAGCAGUAUCACCAAUCUUAAAAGCUCCGGCUUGAAUCCCUCCGACAGUAGCUGGACCGAUAACCACCUGAAAAACAAAGUGCAUAUAAUAAGUCAUAAAGUUUGAUAACUUCUAAAUAUGAAACUCAAGUGACAUUAGGUAAUGACUGAAAUAACACUUUAUGAACUCUUUCUCCGCCUGACCGAGUAUCUUACAUCUUCAAGAACACACACGAAAAAAGAAAAAGAAAGAUGCUAAUACUGAAGGAAACAACAGGAAUGAUGUAACACUGUUAUACCUUAUUAUUUGCCUUUGCAAAACCAAUAAGCUGCUUGGUGUCCGACUCAGGAACUCCUUCAGCUAUUAUAGCCACAACUCUGAUGGUUGGCUGUUUCAGAGCGGACAUGGAGGAAGCAGCAGCACUGCAAUUAAGGAAAAGAUCAGAUAUAAGAGCAAAUCGUUUUUAGUUUAAGAUUUUUUUUCCAGGAAAACAAAGAAGAAAAGAACAAACUAGGAGGAUGUAUGAUAGUACCAACCUUCUGAAAGAAGCAAAGUUGAUGAAAACAUCAGCUGUUGGAUGAGCAGCACAGGCAGCUUCAACACUGUAGGUUGAGUAACAAUUGCGAAUAAGUAUCAAAAUUAAAGACUCCACAACCAAGGUCCGUAAAGAAGGCAAAGUUAAUUCAUACUCCUUACCUUUCAAUUUAUUUAUCUUACUUUCCUUUUUAGUCCAUUUCAAAAAGUAUGUCAUGUUCUUUUAUUGAAAACUCUUUAACUUCUACUUUCCACAUUCAUGUUUAACACUAUAAGAUUAAAGGACAUUUUGGUACAUUCUACAUGUCUUUAGUUUAAGACCACAAGAAUCAAUAUUCUUUUUUUACUUUCUUAAACUCCGUACCAAGUCAAAACUAGACAAACAAAUUGAAACGGAGGGAGUAUACACUAUAAGUAUGUUUUCUUUGGUGGUUGGUAAAUAGCCUAGAAUUAUGGCUAUCCAUUUAUCUUAAGUGGUUCAAAUUGAAAAAACUAAGGCACAAGUCCAUCAAUAUGUGUGCUUAUAUUGAACACCUUUCAAACGAUAUAAAGUGGAACCAAACGUUAGAAAGUCACAUGAUCUCAUAGAGAUAUUUUGAAACCACGAUUGCAAGAGAUUUUGAGCAAAAUAUUUUAGACCUAUCGAAACUAAUGGGAGAGGACCACACUGAAAAUGACUACCAAAUCAGGUCCUUUAGGAUAUCAGAAUGAAAAAUAAAAAGCACACGUGUCAUGGAAAUACAACCAAUAGAAGAAAACAAAUAUAAUUGAAACAAGCAAGUAAAGGAUGAACUCAACGCACGUAGAAUGUACUGGGAUUGCAAUUUCCUCCUGACCAAAGAAGAGUUUCUGGAAUCCCUCGGAACCAGGAUUGAUAAUUCCAGCAACAGAAGGUGUUUCUCUCCCUGUAAGUUCAAAACAAAAUUGUAAAAUGUGAAUGAAAUACCUUAAGACAACAAAUAUUGUAAGCACAUUUAUUUUCUAGAAAAAUGAAUGAGUGGAAAUGUAAUACACACCACAAAGGAAAUCAAAGUCGAGCAUCCGUUGGAUAGGAAGCUGCUUGUAGUUGUAGAACAAGGCUUGUGUAGUUUUGGAGAAAAGUUGUCCAGUCGCCAUUCUGCUGAUUUAAUCGAAACCUGCGGAAAAGUUACAAUAUCAGGACAACCAUCAAAGCUUAAUUCCAUCAAAAUGAAGUUAUUCAUAAAAGAGGAAUGCCCCAUGACUUUUAGCCAAACCGCCAAAACAAUAUCUCAACAGGCGGAUAUGGAUCUGAAAGUGACAUAUAUGUGCCAAAAAUAGCUAAAAUUUCGACAAAAACGAAGUUCAUGAACCUAUAAUUGUGAAUGUGAAAGGAAUUCAAUGAUGACUGAUGAGAUACAUAAACAUUGAAUACAUCAAAUACAAAUCACGGAUCCACCUCUUUUCGGGGCAUCUUUCCUUAUCAAGGAACAGACCAAGUUAUCCACCUAAAACCACCAUUUCUAAACGCAUACAAACACCACGAGAAAAAUAUGUUACUAUAUAACAAGAUGAUCCUUUAGAGGUUUCUCUAAAUUGACCUUUAACAAAUGAAAACAAACCAGAACAAGGCUACAUCACCCCCUGAGAUCAAUUAAACCAGAGAUUAACCUACAAACCGGCUUGUGAUAGAGAAAAUCAGAACUAAGUAUAACUGAUACGAAAGUGAACUCAAUGUGCUUAAGAUGAAUCAUUGAUUGAAUGAGGAAAAGCUAACAAGCAAUGAGAAAGGUGAGUGCAAAUGAUGAUUCAAAAUCACAUGUUAUACAAAAAAACUCGUAAAAAGAUCAGAUCUUUAACACGUAACCAAAUCAAAGAACACCUUCAUUCUCCCAAAAAGACUGCAACUUUGAAUUGACCAUUAAAGCAGAUCUUUCUUAGAUCAAAUGUUUAUACAACAAAACAAAGCAUGUCACCUCAGAAACAUCAAAAACAGACCAAACAAAAGAUAAAUUUGGCAACUCCAGCAGUUUUACACUAACAGACAGAAAUCCAAAUUGCCAAUCCAACAGUAAAAUCACAAAAUUGAACCAAAAACCUUUUGGAUCAACAGAAAGGUUCCCAAAAUUGAGAAUUCGACAGUAAAGCGACAAAAUUCCAGAUCCCAUACUCAAAAAGGAACAACAAGGAUUCAAAAAAGACAAACUUUUUAGGAAACAAAAUACUAGUAUUCAAAAAAAUGUACCUCCUAACAAGAACCCCAGAUCCCAUACUCAACAAAACACAGCAAAGAUUCAAAAAAGAGAAAUUUUUUUAGCAAACAAAAUACUAGUAUUCAAAAAAUGUACCUCCUAACAGGAACCCCAGAUCCCAUACUCAACAAAACACAUAAAAGAUGCAAAAAAGAGAAACUUUUUAGCAAAAAAAAUUACUAGUAUUCAAAAAAUGUACCUCCAAACAGGAACCCCAGAUCCCAAACUCAAUAAAACACAGCAAAGAUUCAAAAAAAAGAGAAACUUUUUAAGAAACAAAAUACUAGUAAUUCACAAAAUGCAUCAUCUAACAACAACCCAAAAUCAAGAAUUCAACCAUAAAACAACACAACCCCAUAUCCCAAUUCCAAUUAAAAGCCAUCAAACCCAAAUCAAACAAUAAAAAGACAACCCCAGAUCACAAAACUCAAAAAAUAACAUCAAGAAUCUAAUAAAAAUUGGAACUUUUCAAGGAAACAAAAUGCUAGAAAUGUACCAAGUAUGUAUUUGUUCUUGAUUGAUGAAAAAAAUGAUCUUUUGUCCCCUGUAAGUAGAGUUGAGGUGAGUGAAAUAGUUAGGUGGUUGGUGAGUGGUGGUAGAAUGUUAGAUGGGUGAGUGUGUAUAUAUAUAUAUUUAUAUAUAUGAAUUGUACAGAGAGAGAAACAAGAGGGAGAGAGCAGCCAGCCUUGAAACUUGAAAGACACAGAAAUGAUUCACGUGCGUCAAGUUUGUUAGACGUCCGUUUGAUUUUCGGAUUAAAUUAUUUUUAGACAAUUAUAUUUCUAGAACUAAUUUAUCCCACCUCUCACGGGAAAUAAAAUAAUCUCAAAUUUGAUGGAAUAAUCGGGAUUAAGGUUGAGAAAUUUAUCUUAGGAUAAAUUUAUAUCAUCUUAAUCAUGAGAUAUCUCGGGUGUCAAACGACCUCUAAGGUUCGCGCUUAAUUCUUUUCUAUGAUUACUUAAUGAGUUUGAACAGAUCUGAGUGAUUAACGAGUUAUAACAAAGUGUUAAUAAUAUUAUUAAUAAUAUGUAAAGAUGACAUUAUAUUCGGUGUGGAGCCGAUGCAUUGAUUACGAGUUCCAAUGAACAUAAUAACUUUGAUUCAAAUUCGGAAUUUGUUGUGAGAAAUUCAUUGAAUAUGUACAAAUUAUUAGUUUUGUUUUCAAUAACUCGAAAAAAUUAAAACUAUGAACACGUAAACUUUAAAUUCUUACUUAGCAUUUGAUUCCACUACUUCAUUCACUUUUAUUGUUAAUCAUUUAUCAAUUAUUACAGACACCACAAUAGUCGGUCACUACAAUCUAUCAACGUCCUUAACUAUCAUUUGCAAUCAUCAUCAUCAACUAUCAUAACCAGAAUAACGAUCAAUUACUAUCAACGAUCUCUAUUAUCAUUCAUCACUAUAAAUUAACAAUCGCCAUGAAAGUUAAACUGUUUAAUUUGAUGUAAGCAUCAGAUAUGAAUAGAUAAACCUUUUUCACGAAUUGUUCUUUUAUACUAUCAAAAUUAGAAGACAUAGAAAAGAGCAUCGAGAAGUGUGAUAGAUAGAUGAGAUCCCUUUAUCUUAUUAGAGGUUUAGAGUUCAAAUGCUAAACGUUUUGUCAUAUUAAUUUCAUGUGGUAUUAGUGCGAAUAUAAAUUAAUCAAUUUUAAAUAUUUUAUCAUAUUAACACGAUAUUGAAUAAUUAUGUUUGUUAUACAUCCUAACAUAACUUGAAAUUUUCAAGCCCAUAAAUAUUUACUUCUUAUAGAUUGAUGAACAUCUAUAAGGCAAAAAAAAAUUGAAUUGUCUGAAGAAAAUAUUAUAAAUUCUGCCAUUGAAAUAAAAUCGAAUUUUAAUCCACUAUAAAAUAUGAUUUUUUUUAAUUCAACAAUUGGUUAUGGAUAUUCAUUCUUGGCUGCUACCAAUAUUGAAUACACCUAAUGUUAGGAGCUAAUUUGUUAGAUCUAUGCUUAGAGUUUAAUCAAAGUAAAACAUAGAGUAAACAAAAGGUAAGAAAAUUAUAUAAUUUAAAAAGUAGGCAAAAAUAAAAAAUAAGAACACCAUAAGUGAAAAGGACAAAUUUAAUUUAAUGAAGUUGAAAAUAAUAUCACUUUCUAGUCAUAAUUGAUCAAAUGAGAGAAAUUUGUCAGUAAAAUAAUGCCACACCAUCCAAGUACCAAAAAGACAUUUUUCAAAGGAAUAAUUGAAUUUUUUUAUUCCCUAAAUAAGUAGUUAAUUAUAGUUUUAGUUCUUGUGAUUUUUAACAAUUUAUUCAACUUUUAAUAAUUAUUAUUAUUAUUAUUUUUUUACCCUCCCUAGGAGCUCCCACCCCUUUUGCUCCCUUGAUGACUCGAACUCGCAACCUUCGGAUUAGAAAUGAGGGGUGCUUACCAUCCGAGCAACUCCCUCUCGUCUUUUAAUAAUUAAAUUUUGUUUUAGUAUUUUAGUAUAAAUAAGUAUACACUUUGUCUGGUUGAAGAACUUUCACCGUAUACGCUUUAUUUAUACUAGUUUCUGGAUACGUGCAUUGCAUAUGUGUUCUAUGAGAAUUUUCAUAGAUUUGUUGGAAUAAUUAAAAUAUUAUGAAAACAUGUAGUGAGUAAUAAAAUGCAAUUUUAAUUACUAAUAUAUCUUUAAAAUAUGGCAAAAAGUACCAAAUAAGGAGUGUAUUUUAAUGUUUAAAAUCAAGUUCUUUUAAGCAACCAACGGUAAGUUUUGAAUUUUGGUUAGUAGAUAGCAAACUUUCAAUAAAGCCACAAAUGACUAAUCAAUCAGAAAUUCAUAGAAAAUUUAAAUUUAAAAAGUCUAAUAGAUAGAAAACACAAAAAAAAUAAUACAAUGUACUCUUUCUUAAGACUUUAAUCAUACAAUAUAGAUGUAAACUGAAAAAUACAAAAAUAGUACAUAAUUUUUCGAGUUCUUGUCGACUCCUUCUAUCAUAACCAAUCAAAAUUCAGGAUCAAUCCUUCUUUGUCGAGUCAAACUAAAGAAUGAAUCAAUAGGACAAAAAUGAUAUAAAUGUUUCACUACUUUAACUAUAGAAUAAAAAGGAUACCUAAGGAUCUCAUGAAACAAAGAAGAUGAUUUAUAUAAAUAAAAUUUGAGGAAUAUCAAAAGUUAUCUUAAAAUCUUAAAUUAAAUAUUUAUAGGUUGUGAAUAUGAAAAGUAUAAGAUUUAUAGAUAUAAAUAUAUAUUAAUAGUAGCAAUUGAAUAUGUAAUUAGAUAUGAGAUAUAAAGGUGGAUAUUUAAAGCAAAUAAAAGAGAAAAAUAAUAAAUAAAUGAAAGGGUAUAAGUUUCAUAAAACCAAAACUAAAAAAAUAACAAAUAUAUAAUAUAAAAAAAUUGAAAAAAUAUUCAAAUGUGUUAAUAAAGCUUAAGAAAUUUCAGGAAGAAAAUAAAAAUAUGUAUGCAAUAACCAUCAUAAAUGUAUGUGACUACCAUUGGGUAUGCAAUAAUUGAGAAAUAUGCAGGCAAGAAAUGUGGGUUUGGUUAUUAAAAUUUAGUAGGUUGUAGUUAUUAGAAAAUGUUCUAUUAAUGAAGCAAAGAAAUGAGGAGGUUUAGGUUAUUAGAAUUUUGGGGUAGUAGUUAUUUGACUUAUUUCUAAGUAUUAAUGCAACCAAGAAAUGAGGGGUUUUGGUUAUUGGGAUUUAGAGCUUGCCUAUAUUCCAACGUGUAAAGUUAUCUAAAUUUGUAAUUCAUUUAAUGCAUAAAGAUGAAUGAGUGGUACUUCGUGAAAACAUUAAUGUCUUUCUAAUUCACCAUCCUUUACUAUGAUGUGGAGGUUAUGAAAAUGAAAAGGUGCGAAUUAUGGAGUUAAUCUUUUAAAUAAAGUAAUUAGAAAUAAGAAAUAUUUUAAAGUAGAUUAUUAAAUGCCUAAUAUAUAUAUAUAUAUAUAUAUAUAUAUAUAUAUAUAUAUAUAUAUAUAUAUAUAUAUAUAUAUAUAUAUAUAUAUAUAUAUAUAUAUAUAUAUAUAUAUAUAUAUAUAUAUAUAUAUAUAUAUAUAUAUAUAUAUAUAUUAGGAAUAAAAUGGUAUUUCAACUUUUAACUUUUUUUAUUCCCACUUUUAGUAAUAUAUAUAUAUAUAUAUAUAUAUAUAUAUGAUUCUUUUUAUUUUAAUUACCAAAAGAGAAAAAUAUUGUUAUCAUCAAAUUAACAACACAAAUUUAUCAUAACAUAUAAAUAAUUAAAUAAUAAAAUGACAAAUUUAUGAAGAUUCACUAACAAAUGAGUCAAUAGUUCAUAUAUCAAUUAAUCAAAAGGUUAAAUAUUACACUUACUCAAAUAUCAUGAGAACCAAAAUAUUAACUUUAUUAAUAACUAAAGAAAAGAAUAGUAGUUAUUAACCUUUUUAAAAUGUUCCACUUUCUUUGUUAUAAAAUACUUAAUUAAAAUAAAAUACAAUAUAGACACACUAAACUUUGCUACUACUUGCUAUUGUUGAAAAGCCUCCACAAAUAAUGUCAAAACUUUUAGCCAUCACUUAUGAAUUAUCUUUCUUUAUUAGUCAUUUAGUCAAAUUCUUACUACAAAAGUCCAAUCAAAGAACUUACAACCUUAAAAAAUCCUAAAAAUUACGGUGUGGUGAGACUAUUCCAUCCUUAAUCAGAGCUCUUGGGUUUGAGUAGGUAUGGAGAAAAUCCGCAUGACCCUCGAAAAGGGUCAUAUAGUGCUUGAUCCUAAUUUAGUCGGCGCUCUAAGGUAGACUCCAAACACCAAGUGGAAAACCUAUAAAAAAUAAAUUCUUGCAAUUUAUACAAAACCCCUGCAAGGUAUUUUUUUUCGUUGCACCAAAUAAGUGUUUGCUUCGAUUAUCGUAUUGUAUAUUAUUGAUACUGUUUUUUCGUUAUGUUUAACAUGAUUGCUUCUAUAUUGUAUUUCCUUUUUCAUUUACUUGAUUUUAUUGUCAUUUACGUAAGCAAUUAUUUAUCCGAAACAAUUUUUUUAUUAUUACGAGAUAAAAAUAAAGCUACAUAUACACCACCCUCUCUGAAUUCCGAACCCUGAUAUGUUGCUAUUGCACCAAAUAAUAAGUCCAUCAUCUAAUUAAUUAUUUUGUUUUAGAAAAGAAAAACACAGCCAGCCAGCAACAAAAACGUGACAUUGUCACUCAAAUAAUGUUAUUUUUUUCCAUUUCAAGUGCAGGCUAACGGUCUUGUCACAUAUAUCAAGGUUUCGGAUUCAAGUUUGAAAUCGUCUUUAAUAGAAUUUUUUUAUAAAAAAAUAGGAUUUUCCGAUGCACAUGUCUUUAAUAGGAAGCAUUAUUCUUCUUAAAAUAUAAUAUUUUGAUGUUAAUUUUAAUUAAUCGAACUCCAAAAUAGAUACCAAACAUCAAUCGUAAACCAAUAUUUAUGUUCUUUUGAAUUAAGAGCAUCUUAAACCUGCGGCAAAUCAUAAUGUUUUUUUUUUUUUAAUUUCAAGUGCAGGCUAUCGUUGUUGUCAUAUAUAUCAAUGUUUUGGAUUCGAGUCUAAAAUCGUCCUUAAUAGAAAGUAUUUUACAAGACUUUUCAACCUAAAUGUCUUUAAUAGAAAUCAUUUUAUUUCUUAAAAUAGGACUUUUCGAUGCGUAUAUCUUUAACUGGAAGCAUUAAUAGGAUUUUUUGAUGUGAAUUUGAAUUAGUUAGACUCCAAAAUGAAUAUCAAACAUGAACGUAAAACUAAUAGUUAUUUUAUUUUGAAUUAAGAGCAUCUUAAAGCUGCAGCAAAUCAUAGAAAAGAAAAACAAAAAACAAGCAAGCAAUUAGCAACCUCAUAUGACCAUAUCAUAUAUAUUAUUAUUAUUAUAUAAUAUCCACUGAAGUUGCAGAUAAAUAAUUAAAAAAAUUUCAAUAGCCAUCACUUAUUUUUUUAUUACCCUAUUAUUAAGUAGUUUUCAUGAUUUAUGUGUUAUUGUGUUUGUCUUUUGGGCAAACAGCAGUCCAUCCUUGACUGAUUGUUGAACUUCUUAAUUUUAUUAUUAUUUGGCACUUCAGAUUCGCACCGCAUAAAGUCCAUUCGAGAAAAACGCUACAAUCAAUAUAACAAGACCUUUCCUUACAUAUUUUUUCCGCUUGCUUUGUAGUACGAGCAUCAUACAGAGUCGUGCUCCUUUAAUAUGAUGAGAAGGAGGUCGUUAAUAUAUAAGAAAUGAUUUUCAUUACUUUACAAACUUGCUUUUAGUUGUACAUAUCUGUUUUACGAGAAAUCUUCAUUUUUACAGAUGAGAGAUCUGAAAAAGUUAUUUUCUUCUGUUCAAUUCGUAAAUGUGACAUAAGAAAUCAUUUCCUCUAUUGAAUGUAGGACAUUAGUACAUAAUUUCAAACAUUAUUUUGUCCAUGUAAUACAAUGCUAGAGUUCAUACACCGGCUGGAAGAGGGUGCUAUUAGACUCAAUCGCCCCUGCAACUGAGGUCACGUUCAAUCACAUACCCCCACAUCUUAUCGCGUUUUACUCCAUCCCAUAGACAUCAAUCUCUGCUCAUAUUCCAUGGAUUGUCUUUGGAUAAGAUUGUUGAUCGUAGUAAUCACAAACACUUGAUGAGGGACCUACAAUAAGCACGGUCAUCUAGUAUUUAUGAUUACUAUAGUAAACAAUCUUACCCAAAAACAGUCUCAUGGAAUAUGAGCAGAGAUUGUUGCUUAUGGGAUGGAGUUAAAUGCGAUGAGACGUCGGGCCAAGUGAUUGAACUUGACAUCAGUUGUAGCCUGUGGGGAUGAUGAUGGAUUCCAAUAGCACCCUCUUCGAGCUCUCUCAUCUUCAAAGGCUCUACCUUUCUUGGAAUAACUUACCCAAUUCUUACACCUCAGACGAUAGAUGACUUCAUCUGUAUUCUAAUAAGAAGUGUGGUUGGAAGAGGGUGAUAUUCGACUCAAUCGUCCCUGCAACUGAGGUCACGUUCAAUCACAUGCCCCAACGUCUUAUUACAUUCACUCCAUCCCAUAGACACCAAUCUCGGCUCAUAUUCCAUGACUUGUCUUUGGAUAAGAUUCCUGACUGUAGUAAUCACAAACACUCGAUGAGGGACCUACCGUAAGCAUUCUCUUGAAUUUUAGAAGGGAAAUGCUUUGAUCAGAAAUUAUUGUCCAAAAGAGCACGGUCAUCUAGUAUUUGUGAUUACUAUGGUAAAAAAUCUUAUCCAAAAACACUUUCAUGGAAUAUGAUCAGAGAUUACUGCUUAUGGGAUGGAGUUAAAUGUGACAAGACGUCGGGCCAAGUGAUCGAACUUGACAUCAGUUGUAGCUAGUGGGGACGAUGAUUGAUUGCAAAAGCACCCUCUUCCAGCUCUCUCAUCUCCAAAGGCUCGACCUUUCUUGAAAUAACUUAUCCAAUUCUCACAUCUCGGACUAUAGAUGACUUUAACUGUAUUCUACUAAGAAAUGUGGCACUUGCUGAUCAUGAAUCAAUCCACAAAUUAUGCCUUCGGCUUUGCUAGAACUGCAGUUUGUUAACUCACACAUCGUAGGCUAGAGUCCAUGUAAUCUGUGUGAUAUACAGAUCUAUUUGCCGCCUUCGCGUCAAGAAUUUCCUAAAAAAGACAUGACCACAUGAGCCAAAACUUAGUUAGAGAUGGUACAAAUAAAGAGGAAAACAAUUUACAAAAAGAUAAUGGAUAUAGAAAAUUAUAUACAGUUCAUGUGGGUUUGUGUGCAGUAUGUCAAUAUAAGAUUGUAAACCGAAAAGAUCAAUAUCGGCAUGAUAAAUAUACAUCAGAAGCUUUACAGCUCUCGAGACAUGUUGGUUUAAGUCUUAGCUCCAACGUCUAUAUGUCAAUUAAGGAAAUAAGAACCUACUCAUCCAAGAUGAAGUUGGUCCUUUAUGAUGGGCGUUUUUAGUGUAGAAUUACUAGUGAGCUGAAAAUAGUGGCGAGUUCUUUGCAUGGGAUAGCAAUUUGACACUAGAAAUUUGAAAUAUUUGGCUUAUACUGUAUAUCUCAUCUGAUGACUGAUAAAUAAAAAUGAAACUACUGAUACAUGUACAAUGGUUGUUGGCAAGGAAGGUCAAGUAUGCCAUUUAGCUGAAGCGAGCUACUUAACAAAACACUUAGCAGUUAACAGCAUUAAAAACAUUGCCAGGGGCUAGAGUAGCUAAUGAGUCAAAGUAAAGAGCAUAAGGUUAGAGGGCAGACCGUUAUGUCAAAAUUUUGAAGCCUUCCCCUGCGAAUCUUCGAUGAUGCACUAUGUAUUCUAUGUUCUGUAUGACUAUAAAACUGUAUCUCUGAUUUCAACCUUUGUCCUUGAGAAUCUGUGUACCAACUACCAUCAUCAAUCCUUGAACAGGCCUUCCCGAGACCUCAUAGUUCUAAAUUUCUGCUGGUGUAUCAACCUCAAAUACAAUCUAAGUGAUCUGCUUCUGGAUGUUGUAACAUUUAACAGUUCCAACCAGAGCUAGUGAUUCAAUUAUGGCCUGCAGAAGUUGCUCGGGGAAAUCUUCAACACGAGCAAGUCCGUGAUGACUUUGCACAGAACUCAAAACUCUACCGACGAUCUGAAGGAGGAAUAAUGAGAUGAAAUUAUGAUACUGCUAUAGUAUUUAGCUUAUGCAGUUGAUUGGAUAGACUAGAGUAAUUUCCAUGAUUGGCAAUAAGGACCUACCUUUCGUGCAUAGCCACCAAACGCCACACCAGCAAUCAAAGCAUUUGGUGAAUGUAAGGUGCUCGAAUUUUUCUCAUUUCUUGAAGCCUCUAAAUGAAUGUGUGGAUUGUGUCAAAACUUCAGUGUUAUAUGGAAUAUGAACUUAAUAAAGUGGGGACUGUGGAGUUAAUACAAGAUUUCUUGAGUUAAUACCGUGUAUGGUCGUUGUUUGGAAUAAAUUCUCUUUUUUCAACCCCUCCACUGUGUGACCAUUGGUACCACCAGCCAGUUGAAGGAAGCCUGUGACAUAGGAAGAAUCUUCAAAUUGCACUAGCGAGUAGUUCAUAGAAAAAGACACCAAUGAGUCGUAUCAUGUCAUUUAUCAGAAGAAUUUUUUAUGUGCAAACCUUUAGGCUUGUCACCAGCAGAGGCCAAUUUUCGUGCAAAAGCAAUUGCAUCUCUCGUGGCACCUCGCCCAAUAUCUCCACUCAUUGGUCGACCAUCCAACUUCAAUUAGAAUCAUUAGUAGAAAUGAUGAGAAUAUAUUCCGAGCGUUCUAGCUUCUAAAUCAAAAUUAGUGAUAGGACAAAUGAUCUGCACCUGCCAUAAGUUGACGCAGUAUAUGCUGGAUUCCAUUAUAGAGUACAUAGCAUUCAUUGCAGAUAUGGUUGAAUCUCUCAAGUCUGGAAAACUAACCUGCACGAAACCAUGAUAAAAACAAUUUUUUUAACUUAAAUUCUUGAAAUGGAACAAGUUGUUUGAACUUGCUAGAUGAUACUCUCUCCCUUACAAUUUCUUUGUAUGGGUUUGACUUGACACAGAGUUUAAGAAAAUAAAAAAGACUUUUGAGUCUUGUGGUCUUAAACUAAAGAUAUGUAAAAUGCACCAAAAUUCCCUGUAAUCUCGUGGUUUUACACAUGCCACGUGGAAAGUUAGAAUUGAAGAGUUAUCAAGAAAGGAAAGAGACAUUCUUUUUGAAAUGGACUAAAAAGACAAGUAGGACAAACAAAUUAAACCGAAGGGAGUACUACUUAAUGUCACCAACAGAGAUCAAAAAAAGAGUAACAGCUUCACAUACUGCCACGAGCUUCAGAUUUGCAGUUGAGUUCCCCAACCCAGUCCAGAGUUCGUUAAAAACUGAAGGUUCUCUGUUCCAAAAAUGAGAAUGCAGAUAAGAUACACUUUUUAGCUACAAAUUGAUGUUACUCUGAUAAUGUGACAAAGAACCAUUUGUACAUUUUGUUUGUGAUUUUUGUUGUUACAGAAUAAGUAGAACCAAAAUCAGAUUGUAUUGCAGAAAUAUACAUUGAGUAAGCAUCUAUUCUAUGGUUAAGUUUGUGUGUCAAUUAAAUAAGUAGUGAAAAUUCACACUUGAAUGAUUUCGGGGAAUAUAUUAACCGAAAAGAAAAUUAUGCUAACCUUCCACUAGUAUGAAUUUCUAUGGCAUCAACAUCAUCCCUUUCAAGAAGUUCAGCUGUAGCUAUAACAUCUCUCACAUACGUAAUAGCUCCUGAAUCAACGAAAAGAUAUCUUCAUGAAUUCAAUUUGCAGAAAAACAACAAUCCUGACGUAAAAGGGCACGGAGGAGGUGAAAAUAGACAGGCAGCAGUGAACUCACUUAUUUUGUCAUAUGGACAAACCGGAAGGCAGCGACCACAACCAUAACAUCGGUCAGCCAAAACUCCUCCCUGCAAUAGUUACAGAUGUAGCCUUUAGAAAUGAACAUGAAUAAGCUUAAACACGAAUAUAGCAGGUUAACAGCUGUAGAAUAAAUCAAGGGAAAUCAAAAUGGAGAGAACCUUUUGCAAUAUUGCAUUAGCAGGACACACUUUUUCACAAGGUCUCAUGCAAUCCCGGGGGCAAUCAUCCGGAUCAAAUUCUGCAACAUUAUCAUAGACAAUUGGAGUAUUAAGCCCACAUAUCUUACUUAGGAAUACUUUCCAUGAGUAAUUUCAUUCAUGGUAAAAUACAAUCUUGGGUCUUUGAUCUAAGACCAAUAUUAGAAAGGCUGAGUACGGAGGACAAAGCUCUUAAAACAAGAAUAAUCAAAGACGAAAAUACACGAUGAAGUCGACAUUUCAUAGUUUCUAAUGCUUCAGAAGAUUAGGCACUCCAAUCAGAAGCCUACUUUUUUUGAUAACCGAGAAAUCCCCCGACCAAUGCAUGGUUAAAACCUCGGUGGAUCACGGGCUAGCUCAUCUACCCUUCUCCACUUACUUACCAUAUUUUUUACUGGAAAGUUUUUGCCUACGGCAGGGUUGAUAGUACUUAUAUUAAGAGAAAGCAAGUAACUUUUACCCCUACAUCACGUAACCAAGAUUAUGAGAAUCAGAAAGGACAAAUAUGCUGGUUGAAGUCGAGGUGUGGGGGGAGUUACCAGCUUUACGGAAAUGAAGAUCUUCAUCAUCAUUAACACUGAUCAUUACCCAAGGCCUGCGUAUGGGCACAAGGGCUCUGGCUGCUUCUAUCCCUUCAUUUACAGCAUUCACCACUGACGCCUCAGCAGCGCAGUCAAUGCAAUCAACUACAAUCAACACACAAACUUAUCAACCCAAUGCAAGGAAUAAUAGUACCAAAACUAUAAGAGACAGUUAAUGAUUCAAUUCUCACCUCCAGCAAGAGUGUAAACCAGAGAAAGGUUCCUGAUAUCAACCAAAUCCUACAAAAACCAAGAAAGAUAAAAAUUGCUCAAAUAUGUUAACAUGUCUCUGCAUUUUGUAUAAUCUUCAUACUUAGUUUGUACUAGCUUCAUUACACUUUAAUGACGGGAUUCGACUACACAUGGAGUAUAAGAUGUUUAUUCUGAUUAUACAAAAUUUUGAAACAUCAUAUGAAUUGGAACACCAAGUAGUUUAUUCUGGUUAUACAUUUGUGUCAGUCCUUAAACAAAAGAACAUCAUAUGAAGUUAUACAAAAAAAGUUCAUCUGCAGAAAAGUGUAAAGGUGGAGUCUUUAUAGUGAAUAAAGAGUUAAUAAGUGAAGACCUCAAAGCUAGCACCACAAAUGAGCUUGACCCAAUUUCCCUUCUGAAGAGAUUCAACAGGUGAACUACUAAUAGAAGGAAUCACUGUCUUCUUUAUGAUACUUUUCACCUUUUCGACCCCAUUGUAGUUGCUGUAAUUAAGUGGAUCUGGUAAGAGAAACCAAAAAAAUUCAAGAAAAUUGAAAACUUACAAAAAGAUUAAUAAUUAUCAAAACCCCAUAAAUCCAAAUUGAUGGAAUAGAUAGAGAGUACCUUGCAAUUUGGUGCCAAGUGAAGCAUAACAAGGAAUGCUCAUAGACAUCUUGUUAAAAGGAGCUACUUUUGGAGAUAAAGAGUAGGUGGAGAAGAUUGUUUGUUAUCUAAAAAGAAUCUUAAGUUUUUGAAACUACAUCAUCACCCCCUAUAAUUGUUUGAAAAUGUUCAAGCACAUCCUCAUAUUUGUGAUUUGUCUUAUAUUUGUCUUAUAUUUAUCUAUCUGUAUAGAGUUGAUCAGUCAAAAACUCACACAUUCAACAAGUGUUUGGGUAGAUGUGCGAAUCUAUACUAGGAGAGAGUACAAUAUUAUGAAUAAAGUUAUUUGGAACAAGGUAAGAGUGACCUUUGUGCUGGACAAGAUGCAUGAAAGUGAUAAGAGAUAUUUUGGCAUGUGAAGAGAAAGAGAACAUAUGCCCCCAAUGGAAAAAUGCGAGAGAUCUACGAUGAUAGGUCUAAGAAGAUAUAUAUCAAGAAAGAAAGGAGGUGAGAUCACUAAACAUGACAUGAAUUGGACAGUUGAAAUUCAAGAAUUAGUGUAAAAAGAUUAAUAGUAGUUGAACGUUUUCUCGCUUCUAUGUAGGAGAGCUUAGUUCUAGUUUAGAGCAUUUUAUCUGUUUUCUCUUCUCCUUACAUGUCUCACUAUAAUGUUAUUAUUGUUGUAUUCCUUAAUUUCAUUUAUUUAUAUUGUUCUCUUACUAUUUUGUUGUCGUUACUUUUCUAUUCUUUGAUAUUUUCAUCAUAGCUCUUUGCUCUCGAAGUUGUCAAACUUGUUCUGGAAACGUUUUUUUUAGUCGAGGAUCAUAUCAAAAACAACUUUUGUACCUCUCUUAAAACAUGGAUAAGGCAUAUUCACACUAAAUAUGUUAUUGUUAUUAUUCUUUAAAUAGACUAUUCAUAACGUUCAAAACUUAGUUUAUGUAUAAUCGUUUCAAAUAACAAACACAUAAUUUUCUCAAUUGGUGAAAAAUCGAUAAAUAUCAUAGUAUCAAACCUUUCCAUUGAUGUGAGCUCUCGAGGAAAAUCAUCAUGUUAGUCUUUUCUUAAUACUCCCUUUGUCCCAAUUUAUGUGACACUUUUCAUUUUUUGAGAGUCAAACCGUUUAAGUUUGAUCGGGAAUUUGCGCAUGGAAUCUUUGAAAUAAAUUUAUAUAUUUGUAAACUACGUAAAAAGUACUAUAAGUCACAAUAAUUGAUAAUUCAAAAUGUUUAAAAGAUCUAUGAAAAAUUUACGGUCAAAAAUAGAUUUGUUCGUAUCACAAAAUCCGAAAAGUGCCACAUAAAAUGAAACAAAGGGAGUAUGUUUUUUUAUUUAUUUAUUAAAGAAUAUUUUACUACUUUAAAGAACAUUUCUUUAACACAAGGAAAUAACAUAUUUUUCUUUAAAUUCUUUUUUUUUUUUGGUCACACCUAACACACCAAAUAACAAUUUUUACAGUUUCACCCACAAACUUUGCAUUAAUUUCCAAAUAGUACAUCUUUAGGGUUUAAGAAACUCAUGAUUAUCUCUAAAACCCUGAGCUCACUCACUUUUUGUGUACACUCCAAAAUGGUGAACGUCGCCGGCGACGACGAUGAUGAUUUCGGUGAUAUCUACGCCGACGUAUUAGUUCAAGCAAGUUCAGCUAUCAAUGCUCUACAGAGUUCAACGAAGGUUCAAACGGAAGUUAAUGAGGUUAACUACAAUGCUGCUGUCGGAAACUGUAAUCGUGAAAAUGCUGUAAGAGGAGAAGAGGAAUGUGAGAGCGAGAGUGGAGAUGACUUGAACAUACUGUUGAAUGAUGAUGAAGGUGAUGAUAAUUUUCUCAAUGCUGGAUGUGAUGAGGAUGAAACUGAGGGAAAUGGAGGUUUUAGUGUUAGUGAUAAAGGAAAUGGUUUAGGACAGAAUUCAAAUGGCAGCGGAAGUGGCGAUGGAGAGAAAAACAGUUACAAGGUAGCAUUAUAGACUGUGAAAUUAGUGAAAAAGAGUAGUGUUAAUUUGAACUUGUUUUCGUGUUGCUUAGUUGUUGAACCUGAUUACUGAUUAGAUGAGUUGCUUUGAUUAUUGAAUGCUUAUAUUGGUUUGAUUUUAUGUAUAAAACAAGGGAGGUUAGUGUAAAGCUGAUUAUGAGGUUUGCAUAUUUUAAUAUUCCUGCCAUUUACUAUGGUCGAAGACUCUUAUUUGGCAGCAAUUAAGUUUUUCUUGCUUGAAAAACUGAAAAUUUGGUAAAUGUAUACUCUCUUCAGUUUAUUUUCUUGCAAUGCACCUACCUCCACUUGCUGCAACUUGGGGAUUUUACUGGAAAUGCCUUUAGGUGUUUUCUUCGCGAUUAUCUAUUUUUGAAUUCUUCAAGUGUGAAAAUUAUCAUGAUGAUUGAUGAUAGACUUCAUCAGCGUUUACAUGAAUUAAUGCAGUUAAGCUUUCAUGGAUUAGUCAAGGUGCUGGCCUGAAUGCCACCUAUAUGGAAAGAAAAUGGAUUAAUACUGUUCUGUACUUCUGUUACUUCAUAGUGUUUCAUUCUCCGAAUUAUGAUUUCGCCCCCUCUUUUAUGUAGAACACAAGACCACCACAAGCAGCAUACUCAAGUCAUCUCAAAGCCAAUAGAUCUUCUUGUGCGCCUUCUUACUCUACAGCAUUUGUCAAGGGCAAAUGGGAGGAUAAUAGCUACACACAAAGGGUGGGCUCAGGCUUUGCUGCUCAAAAUGGACAGAGCUUCUCACUUCCUCGGUCGAGGUUAUUAUGUUUUGUCAAACUUUGCUUGUAUUCUAAUCUUUGGUUAAUGCUUUGUUGUGUUUCCAUUUUUAUAGAAAAACAGUUCAACAUACUGUUAUAAGAAAAUUAUCUACAUUUGAAACAACUGGUUCCACUUUUUCUGGUGCAUAUUUGCUUAUUGGAGAUAAUGUUGGUCAUCUCAUCAAAGAACUGUUAUGAAAUAGGUUUACCAGAUAAAGUUGUUCUAUAUUCUUUUGUAGGCUUAAUCUUUUCAUAUUUCAUAGAUAUGUAAUUGAUCCAUAAUUUUUCAGGAAUAUAUUGGACGUGAAUAUUGAUAUGUUUGAGAAGAAACCUUGGCGGUAUCCAGGCACUGACUUGACAGAUUAUUUUAAUUUUGGCUUUGAUGAAGAUAGUUGGAAACAGUAUUGCAACUGCCUGGUAAUGAAUGCAUAUAAAUUUGUCUGUUUCUGAUAUGUAUUAGAGUAUAUAGUUUUUCCUUUUAUCAUUUCUUGUUAUCUUUGUUUUUGUAUUUCUUCCAACUUUCUAGAAUGUAUUGUGGCAAAGUUGUUUCUACUAUUUUUACUGCAUGUCUUACAUGUUUAUCAUUGGCCGUGACUUUUGAAAUAGGAUGAGCACCGAGAUCAAGCAAAAAAGAUAGUCAAAGAUUCAGACUACAAGACUUCGAAAAUUAGUAAGGUAGGAAUCUCUGGAUGAUUGUCAAGUUUUACUAUUCCUUAAAUAAUAGGUGAAGCCUUACCUUAUAAAAAAAAGAAGAAAAAGAAACAAUUAGUGAGCUUAGUGUAUCAAAUGGGUUGUGAAAGCUGAAGGUGACCAUGUUUCUGUUCAAACCAUGCUGAAGAUGACAUUUAAAAAAAAUGUAGAUGUCUUCGUUACCUAACAGUUCUUAAAUGCUAUCUGAAAUUGAACUGUUAAUGAUGUUUAUGGUAUAAACUUGCCAAUGUUCAGCCAAAAGGUAGAGAAAUAGAGGUGGAAGAGAGCAUGAUUGAGCGCCGACCAUCAACAGAUGUGGGACGUCCACAGUAUCGGGAUUCUGGUGUCGUCAUACAGGUAUCAAAUUUUUUAAUUCUUCCCUUUUCUUGACCAUCUAAUUGCUGUGUGCUCACAGGCUUGUGCUGGCACCAGAUUGCUUUGCAGCAGUCAAUGGAAGAUCCCAUAAGUUCUACAAAAGAGCAGCGGGAAGCAUCUGAGAAUGGAGAUGUUGUUGGGGGAGAUAGAAAGGAGUUUCUCUGUUUCAGUAGUGCCAGCGAAGAUGAGUUAACCAGCUUGGAAGGAAUUGGAGAAGGAUCAGGCAAGUCUACAUCUGGAAGGUAUGUCAUCUACUGGUUGAAUUGUGAUGAUAGUCUGUAACACUACUUGCAUUAUUCUUUUGCUGGUUAAUCUUCACAUUGGAACACAACUAUUUUGCGAAGGACGUGUCAGUAAAAAUGACCUUGCAGAUUUUAAUCCUUAUGUAGUUUAAGUUCGAAGGCUAUAUUAUGUUGCAAUAUAAGAGCUUGAAAUGUGACAGGUUUUCUCACAUGUUCUUGAUGCUUAGUUGGCUUAAAGUUGUCGGCUUCUAAGUCUUUUUAAGGUUUUGUUUUCCUAGACAUGCUUGCAAAAUAUUGUCAAAUUUUUCAAAGAUUUCCUUCUUCAUGGACCAUGAGUAAUCUGAUCCAUUGUCGGCUUUCUUUUUGCUAUCUUCACCUUUACUUUUAAGUCUUGCUUCUCACAUCUCUCCUGUUUUUCUGCUGAUUGAUGAUACAUAAAAAUGUAUUUAAUGGUUCAAGUUACUUCAUUCUCAUAAAAUUAACUCUGGAUUUCAGGAUUACACCUGUUUGUGAGCACGUGUCUAUGGGUUCAGAUAACUACGGAAAUUCUGAGUUCUCUGAUGCAGAUGAGCGACACCACCAAGAGGGGACCUACUGUAAUGUUGAUCAAACCUCAGGAGCAAUUAGAUCUUCUCAUGAUGCAAAUAAAAGCAGUGAGAGAGACAUAUCUGAUCCAAGACAACCUAUAAAGUUGCAAGAACCACUGCAUGGUGGAGGCAGAGAGCAUAGCCCAGGUUCAUCUUGUUGUUCUCUAAGUCAUGGUGGCACAUCUGGAGAUGGGACUUUUCUUGACUUAGAGAAAUCUCAUGAUCAUCAUACAAGGUUAUUAUCAAACACAGAAUCUGAGUUACGGGAGAAGGGUACAAUUGAUUACCAGCCAAUUUAUGGAACCAAUCAUAACAGAACAAAGUCUGGUGAUCCUAAAUAUUUUACACGAGGUAGAAGGUCUGUGCAAAGAGAACUGCUGCAUGACAGAAGAAGACCUGGUCGAAUGAGUGGAACAAUUCCUGCUCACCUGAAAGAUGAGGAUUCCCACAAAUCAGAUGCUAGGAUACUGUAUGAAAGGCGUAAUUCAACUGUGAUCCGAUACAGACAGAGAGAUAGACGAUAUGCUUUUGACUCUCAUGAAAGGGAAGAUACUUCACAUUUUAAGAGGGCAGAACCCGUUUACUCUAAUGCAGGACGAUUUUCUGAUUAUCCAUGCCGGGAUUCUUUUACAAAAAAUCCUGAGAUGGAACAUCAGUUAAGAUGUAAAUAUGACAAAAACUGGUCUGGCGGUCGAAGCGUGAAAAGAAAGCUAGAUCCUCUUGAACUAUCAAUUUAUACAGAUGAUGAAUUGUUGGAAAGAGAUAGACCCCAUUAUGGGAGAAGACUCACUGUUCAGGAUAUGGACACCGUUCCUUUUCAUGAAUCGGAACAAUGGUUCGAUAAGUAUAUUUCCUAUUCAGAUGAUGAGAAUCCCAGUCAACGAAUGCGGAAAAUAGAUCAGCUGCCGAGUAAGAAGAGAGUGAGGACUGAUGAUCUUGUAACUGAAUGUAAUUACAUCUACGAUAUCAUGGAAGAGACUGAUAACAGAUAUAGACCAUACAACCACAGGGAUACUAAUAUUCUAGAAGAUGGCUAUCAUGUAAAUUUGACUUAUUUCAGAAGAGAAAUUAAAAGCCCCAGUAGGGGCAAAAGGAGAGAUGUCAGUCCUUGCAAAAGUUCAAAUGAUAUAUGUUUCAUGGAUCUAAAGGAUGAGGAAGGGAGAUUUGAUGGGUAUCGACCUCCAUCCUUUCGUUUGUAUAGAGAAUCUUGUACUUCUAGCAGAAGGUGGCAGAGCCCUGAACUGCCACGUGGCAGACACGGAAUAUUCAGUGGGACUAGGAAAUGUGAUGGUGGUGCUAAUUUGACCAACUCCAUUGGUUCCGAUCAGACGAGCAAGUAUCCUGGUAAUCAGGACAAUUUUAAAAGAAGAAGAGGGGGCCAGCAGUCUGAAGGGAUGCAAUGGGUUGAAGAUGAAAACAGUUCUAGGUAUCAGCAAAAUAUAUUCGAUGCUGAGAGGACGUCAUAUUCGUUCAGAAGAAGUUCAAGUGACCGAAGGUUUAAUUCAUUUGACAAUAAUCAUGGACCCAACCCAGUAGAAAAGCUUUUAGAUGAUAGGCAUGUGGAGCAGGAAAAAUACAAAUUGAUCAGGGAAGGCAAUAAUGCCAGUCAAUUUGGUCAAGGGUCUAAAGUUUUUCAUAAAGAUAAUCAUUGGAGGAGAUUCCCAAGAGGGAGAGAUUCUGUUGACACGGGCUUGAUUGUUGAGAACGGAGAGGUAAUUUUGUGUAUACAAAUGUCAAGAUUGUAUAGUCUAUAUGUAAAUAUGAGUUUUCCAUAUAUGUUGGGUCCUGUUCCAUUGUGUGAUAUCAUCUCAUGCUACCAAGGUCUCCUAUUUCCCUGUGCGUUUGAUUUCAGAUUAAAGUUCUCAUGUUGCCUUGUUUUUUUUUUUUAAAAAAAAAUUGUUCUUGAAUUGACCCUUAAAAAAUUGAACUUGUCAACUCCAAAAUUAUAUUAAGCUUGCUAUUCUAGGAAUUCUUAUAUUAUUACCUUUAAGCAAUUGAUCAUCAGUAUUCUCUAGUUACUUAUGAAACCAUAUAAAUCUGUUGGUGACCAUUUAGUCGUUUAUUUCUUGAUCCUACAAAUGUGCAUCAACGUUGUUACUGACAGUCCUCUAUAUGUUGACGAGAAAAGAGUGUUUGCUUAAGGGACAUGUUACCAUUUUGUAGCUCCAGUUGGUGUUAGUCUUUUGUCACUUGAAGUACAUUAGAUAUCUAAUGUGAUAGCACUUUUGCAAAAAAUAAGAGAGGACUCCGAAGUUCAUUGUCUUUGUGUAGUUAUAUAGGUAAUCUUCUGCAACAGGAAUAAGCAAGUAAACUUUUUCUAUAUACUGCAAUUUUAAUAUCAGUAAAGCGGAUCUCAGUAAACUAGGCAGAAAACACCAAAUUGUAUUACUGGAGUAUCACUAAAUUGUAAUCAUGACGAGGCUUGCUUAUUCUUCUAACUCACGAGAUCUCAUUUAACACAAAUAGUUUCUAUUUUUGUGUUGAAAUGGGCUGUCAUUCUUUUUUCUCGAGUCUGAUAGCUUGAUAUGUCACUAGCACAAUGUUUCUGCAAGACUUCAUUGAUUGUUCUUUUAUCUUAAAUUGAGCAAUAGUUUAGGAGGUAAGUUGCCUUUGUAUGCCGGCAUUGGCAUAAAACUGUGUUUUACUUUUACUAUCAGCGUCAAACUACAUGUCCUGACUUUUUGGAUAUUAACCAUCAUAAAGUUGUGCUUAGUGCUUACACAAGAACUUUACAUGAUUCAACAUUCUAUCAAAUCUUAUAUUCUUUCUUGGCAUACGCUUUUGUAUGUGGGAUACCUUCAGUUUUUAAUAAAGUAUUAUAUUUGCUUUCAUUUAUUCUUCAAUACAACUUUUUUUGAAUAUGAUGACUUCAAGUCGUGUUCAAGAAUGUGAGCUGGGAAGUGAAAUAAGAAAAAGGAGAUCGCUACACCACUGAAGUUGCUGUCCUAAUGCAUGCUCCUUUUAUGUGUCUGGACAACUUUGCAUCUUGAUUGGAAAUGAUAAUUUUAGCUGGACAGAUAAUCUAUAUUCAAUUUUUGAGAGGCCAUAUUAGGUGUUGCUCCUGCUUGAACUUGGACUAGAAUGAAGUCUUGUUUUUCUCUUAUCAAUGGGAGGGGGUGUUCAAUGUUUGAAUAUGUAGUGCUUGGGAUCUUAAGUAGAUAAGAACAAAUUAAAAAUACUGAUAUUCUGUGUGAGCUCAUGACUAUUUAACAUCAUAUCUUGGAAGUAUUUUUUACUUCUGAUAUUCCGUUUAGUACAGAUGAUGGGGUGCUUUUGGUAGAAAACUAUGUCUUUUUGUAAGGUUCUCUACAUUUCUCCCCAUCUUUUCAAUAGAAUUGUUACCUCCAUUAUCCAAAAAAUAAAAAAGAACUAGAGUUAAUUAUUCUGUUUCUAGAAUUUAGAAUCCACACUUUACUUUCUUCAGCUCUGUUUGAGGUAAGAUCCGACCCUUCCUUGGUGGUGUCAAAGUUUUUUUAAAAAAAAACAAACUAAUAAUCAUAGAAAAGGGAAUUAGAUGUGGAGAAAACUUUAACUGCAUAUUUCGUCUCGCAAUUAUAGUGUUUUACUUCUGCUUCAGGAGCCAUUUCCUUUUCAUCAAUUUUAUGAUACAUUGAUACCAUUUUGUUAAUAUGGUCUCUCUGAUAUUUAUUUUUAUUUUGAUAUACCAUGACAGCAUUAUAAAGCUUUGUUAUUAUCCUCGUUCUUAACACAUUCCUAUGUUUUAAAUUUCUUCUUGGCUGCACUUUAUUGGUAAACAAAAGCAUGAUGGUCUGCUUUGGAAAGUCAUCUUGAUUAGCACGUAUGCUAAUUCCUUUUAUCCUUCAGCUCCAGUUAUAAUUUAUUACAAACACAUAUAGCCAUUGACUAUAUAGCUCUCUUCUGUUUAACUAUUUAAGUUACAUCCCCUUUCAAAGUUUCAAGUUUGUGAGUACUUGGUAUGAUAGUUUUGCCUUUGACAGUUAACAAGUUCUCUAAUUCUUUUCAUGGUAAGUUUUUGUGUCACGUGAGCUCACGCACGAUAAGGCGGCCUCUCUUCAUUAAUUGUGUAAACUAUCAGGAUUUUGAUUUUUGUUUGUGACCAUGGAUCUGCAGUCCUCCGGAAGAUGCUCCAAAGCAGGGGGUGUAACAUCCUUUGACAGGUAUAGCCACUUGGAUUCAGAUAGUUAUGUGGAGCUGAAGCCCAUCGAUGGAACUAGCAAACCCCAUUUCAGGAAGACACUCAGAACUCGAAAUGUGACGACUGAUCCUAAAGAAAAUGAUAAAGGAAGGCUUGAUAUAUUCUCAGAUGCCAACCAGGAAGAGUCUCUGGAUAUUGAAGAAGGUCAGAUAAUUGAAGAAAUGAACGAGAAAAUCAUUAAAAAGAGAAUCACAUGUUCUGGCAAAUCACAAAUCAGUGAAAUGAAGAAUUUCGCGUAUGAUAAAAAUGUGGAGGGACAGGACAACAACCCUAGGAUUUUGGAGAUCAUGGCAAAGAUGGAAAAGCGUGGAGAGCGUUUCAAGCAGCCUAUUGCUCUCAAAAGUGAUACAAAGAAUGUCUCUAAGCCUUUGGUUGAUUCGUUUGCUUUGUCAACUGAACCUAUGCAACCAAGACCAGCACGAAAGAGGAGAUGGGCUGCAAGCAAGGCAACUGUUUAAUGCUUGUAUUAGAGAAGGUGCGUCUCACUAUACCUUCAUAACUGGAUUUGUAUAUAGUGGCGUUUGAUUGAAGAAAUGGUUGCUGAUGGUAUAACUGGGGACGGGGUUAAGAAGUUUCCCAUGAAAAGAGGGAAAAAGAAAACACGUCUCAUAAAGAAUACUGUCUGUUUUGUUGCGCUAAAUGCGUUUUUUUUCCUCUGAAGUAUAAUUGAUUAUUUUGAUUUCAAAGGAUGCAAGGCUACCAGUGAUGAUGGUAUGGCUUGAGCUUUUAUUUAGUCAACUUUAUUCCCAUUUGGUACAAGCUUUAUUCUUGAGAAAUCAUGGUGUCUGCCAUGUAUAAUUUCUCAGUUAAGUUUUAUAAUUUUUUCUUAUUAGUUCCUUGAUAUGUUUCAGAAGUAGUGGUUUGGAAGCAACUUUCCUGUUUGAUUAUAUGGAUCUACAAGUUCAAGUUGCAAGCUUGUCUGAGAUGUUUUGCUUCAAUAAGGUAGUGAGUAUGGCGUAAUGUUAGGGACGGAGUUAGGAGGUUGCAAAGGGUUCAUUCAAAUCUCUAUCGUUGGAAAUUACAUUGUAUAUGAUCAAAUUAAUACUAAUUGUUUAUCUAUCUACAUCUAUAUUACCUUAAAAGCAUGAACUUCUAACUUGAAUGUUAAAUUACUAAAAUAUUCGUAACUUAGGUUGUGAUUUUUUUAAUGAGUUAUGACUUUUUCGAUAACUAGUGGAACAAAAAUGCGCCACGAAUUCACAUAACAAAUGUUGCUAAAAGUUAAUAUUCGUGGCAACUAAAAUUGUCACUAAAUUAUAUAACGAUUAUCGCUAAAAGAUUGUAUUAAUGGCAACUAAAACAGCCACUAAAUCAUUAAACAAUUGCCACUAAAAGAUAGUGUUAGUGGCAACUAAAACAGCCACUAAAUCAUUAAACUAUUGCCGCUAAAAGAUAGUAUUACUAGCAGCUAAAACUGCCACUAAAUCAUUAAACUAUCAUCGCUAAAAGAUAGUAUUAGUGGCAACUAAAACCACCACUAAACCAUAUGAGUCGCUGGGAAUAAAGUAUUAGUGGCAACUAAAACAACCAAAAAAUCAUAUAAAGUCGCCACAAAAAGAAAGUAUUAGUGGCAACAAAACCGCCACAAAUCAUAUACGUGUCGCUAAAAGUCAGUAUUGGCAACUACUACUGCCACUAAAUCAUACAAGAGUCGCCGCAAAAAGAAAGUAUUAGUGGCAACAAAAACCGCCACGAAUUCCUAUUAAAGUCGCCGCUAAAGAUUUGUUUUAGCGGCAACUUAAUCCGCCACUAAUAAAAAUAACAGUUGCCGCUAAAAGAUAAUAUUAGUGGCAACUAAAACCGCCACGAAAUCAUGUAAGUGCGCCGCUAAAAGUAAGUAUGAGUGGCAACUAAAACCGCCACAAAAUCAAAUAACAGUUGCCGCUAAAAGUCAGUAUUCGUGGCAACAAAAACCGCCACUAAUUCCUAUUAAAGUCGCCGCUAAAAGAUUGUUUUAGCGGCAACCAAAACCGCCACUAAAUUAGAUGGGAGUCGCCGCAAAAGAAAGUAUUUGUGGCAAAAAAAACCGCCACUAAUUCCUAUUAAAGUCGCCGCUAAAAGUUUGUUUUAGUGGCAACUAAAUCCGCCAUUAAUAAAUAAACAGGUCGCCGCAAAAAGAAGGUAUUAGUGGCAACAAAAUCCACCACCAAAUCAAAUAACAGAUGCCGCUAAAAGAUAGUAUUUGUGGCAACUAAAACCGCCGCUAAAUCAUAUAAGAAUCAGUGCAAAAAGAAAGUAUUACUGGCAACAAAAUCUGCCACUAAAUCAAAUUACAGUUGCCGCUAAAAAUUUGUUUUAGCGGCAAUUAAAUCCGCUAUUAAUAAGAAUAAAUGGUGCCGCUAAAAGAUGAUAUUAGGCAACUAAAACCGCCACUAAAUUAUGUAAGAGUCGCUGCAAAAAGCAUUAGUGGCAACUAAAACCGCCACUAAAUCAGAUUACAAUUGCCACAUAGUAUUAGUGGCAACAAAAACUGUCACAGUAAGUACAACAUAAACCGCCACUAAAUAAUAUAAUAGUUGCCGCUUAAAGAUGUAUUAGUGGCAACAAAACCACCGCCGCAAUCAUAUAAGAAAUGCCGCUAAAAGUAAGUUUUAGUGGCAACGCUAAAAGUAAGUGUUAUUGGCAACAAAAUCUGCCACGAAAAGUUUGUUUUACCGGCAACUAAAUCCGCCACUAAAUCAAAUAACAGUUGCCGCUAAAAGAUAGCACUAGUAACUAGUGUAUAGUAUAUGUCGAGUCUGCUCCAGUUGUUUGUGUAUUUACUUCUCUAAAAGUAGCUAAUGUUGUAACACAACAAAGAACAAUUGGUUUGGUCAAUUGAUUAUAUAGCCUUUCCAUCGUUUUACCAAGAGAUUUUUAAUCACACAAGAAUUUUUCAAGAAGCUAUGUCAAACUAUUUCCUCUAUCUAUCUGAAUGUGUCUAAUAGAUAGAUUUAUUUACUAGUGUAAUGUAGCCAUUUUGGGACCAAACCUACUUUGGUAUAUUCUUGGGUCAUAUCACUCACAUUUUAACAAAGCCAUGGAUAGAAAAUUAAUUCGAUUUGAUCUGAAUAAUCCUGACCAAAACCAAAAUUGUUUAUCUAAGUAAAUCAAAGGUAAACAUGAGUAGGAGUUCAACUACACCAUAGAAACUGGCAAUUGCAUUUAAAGUGUUUGUUUUUAAGCUUCUGGCAAAAAAGAUGAGCGAGCAGUGGUCUUAGUCGUUUCUCCUCCUAUUGCUUGUGGGAGCGGGGGGUUGCUGUGAGAGGAUUUUCAAAACAUUCACCAAUGCCCGUAAACGAUCCCAGAUGUUCAAACCAUAAAGAGUGUGCACCAGAGACUCUUGGAACUCGAAUCCAUUCUCAGCAAUAGGAUACUGCAAAAAGAUGGGAGUAAAGUUUACUUAUAUGAUAUGAAAUGUAUGAAGGAAAACAUGGUUUCAGUAGAUGAGCAACUCACCUGAAUAGGCUUUGGUAUCUUGGUUUUAAUAAAUGGCCACCACCGGUCCUCCACAACUGACUUUACGAGACAGCAAGCUCGUAAUCCUUCAAUACCAGCAAAUCUUCCAAAUCCACUGUCUUUGACUCCACCAAAUGGCAAGGACUGCAUAUCAUUAUUCAGGAGAAAAUGUUAAAAGGGCCCAUUUUAAAAGGAGACAUGAAAGAAAGGGGUGCAGGGGAGGACAAAAGGCGUUAGACUGAAAAGCUGGAAGUUCCAAAAUUUUAAACAAAAGAGGGUUUUAAGAGGAUAAACAAUGUUGGACAAAGCAACUACAACAACAUACAGAGUGUAAUCCCACACAAUGGGGUAGGGGGAGGGUAGAGUGUACACAGACCUUACCUCCAUCCCAGAGGUAAAGAGGUUGUUUCCGAUAGACAAAGCAAUUGUUUAACGUAAAGAACUUAUGGUCUUUUUAGGUAGUUUGCCUUCAGAAGAGAGAUUUCAAGGUACAUGGCAAAGCUUCAGGACCAAUAACAGGCGCAGGAAGGUCAUGAGCAUCAGGAGUUGAGAAUGGGAGUGAGUCAUGAGUGGAAAGGUAGGGUAACUUUUGAUAGUGUUUCGCAACAGUUACUUCUGGCUGUAGAAGAGAGAAGGUAAGGAAGCUAAUUUCUAGCUCGUCAAAUUUGCAAAUGCGGACAUUUAAAGGCAGAAAGAGGAUCUUUUUUGUUCUCCUUUGAUGUAAAGGUUAAGAAAUAAUAAUUAGACCAUGUGAGAUCUGUAAAUUUCAAGCAGAUGCAACAAGGUAUUGUCUGAGGUUCACAAAAUUCUCUCCUAAUUUGUAUGCAUACCUCAAACAUCAUAGCAAUGGUCACAUAUAAGUAUGCCAAACUCUUUGAUAAAAUGUUUCAAGAGCCUAAUGCCUACAGGUACCUGACACAUGUAAUUUGAUGCGAAGUCAUUAAUAGCAGCCACUCCACAAUGUAAUUGUGAAGCUAUAUGCCUAGCACGACGCUGACUGCCUGAAAAUACAGCACAACCAAGCCCAUAGCUUGAAUCAUUUGCAAGCUGAACAACUUCUUCAUCAGAGCUGAAUUUCAUUAUCGGCAAUAUUGGUCCAAAAGCCUGCAAACAAAUUGUCAUAUGGAGUUAACCAUGCCACCUUCAUCUCAGUAGUAACUAAAAAGAUAAUCUAUCAACUGAUGAUACCUCCUCCUGCAUCAGUUUCAUUGUGUGAUUUACAUUAACAAUCACAGUAGGAGGGAAGUACUGAUCAACAGCACCUUCACCAAUAUUGCCUACACUUCCUCGAGCAACAAUUUCAGCACCUUUGUCUAGGGCAUCAUUUACUAGGUAUUGAAGCCUUUCAGAAUGCUCUUGCAUGCAUAUGGCUCCCAUGUCAUACUUGCCGGACAAAGGAGGUCCCUACAAUUAAAAAAAAACAGUUUAAAUAUAUAAGUAUUUUAGAAAUCAGACUACGCUAGCAAAAUCACAAAUUUCAAAGUCAUUAGUUUUCUGCUUAGGAUUCAGGCAAUCAUUGUGUAUUUAUCGCUCAAUUCUAGGCAAACUAAUGCUUCUACGGUUCACAAUUAUUAGCAAACCAGAAUUUAGAUAGGAUCAGUGAGCAAUCUAACAAAGAAACCAAAAAGGCACCAUGUGCAAAAUGCUAUGUUUCAUGAAAGAAUAAAGAUCUUAUAAUGCAUCGAGUUGAAAAUAUGACACAAAUGAGAAAAGUUACAUACAGCAGUAACCGAUUUCACAAUUUUGACUAUUUCAGCAACAAAAGAAGAGUAAACAUCCUUGUGAACAUAAAAGCGUUCUGCACCAGCACAAUUCUGCCCACUUGAUUGGAGAGCUCCUCUAGCAGCAAUUUGUGCAACCUGCAUCAAAUUUGAUUAGUUCUUUUAAAGACUCGUGAGAAACAGAUAGAGAUGAAUGAUCGUCUUUCUUUAACUUCUCAUAGAGCUAUUUAAAUGAUUUUCCAAUCACAGUUGAAAAGCAAACAAAUGUACUUGACACCCAAAAUGAAAGCAGACAGGAAAAGUUUAUACAUGCGGCACAUCAACAUCUUCACAGACAAUAAAUGCGUCUUUUCCACCAAGCUCAAGGGUAACUGGUAUCAGUGUAUUUGAAGCACUUCGCAUAAUCUGUAGAACACUAAGAGAACAUUAGAAUUUAUAAUUCAACAGAAAAGAAAAGAAAAGUUAGUAAAAGGUAUAGAGAAGAUGAAAAUGGAGGUUUUAAGUCACUCUGUAUUAGAUGAGAAAAUAUAAGCAUGUAUUCUAUGUUCAGGGAGAGCCUACCUUUUUGCCCACACCAGGAGAUCCAACAAAUAUGAUUUUGUCAACAGAGGAUACUAGUGCUUCUCCAGUUUCAGCAAAGCUGGCAAUGAAAUUUUAAAAUGUAAGACAAAUCAUACCAGAACAGAAAGGAUAAAUGUUGUAUAAUGCAUACCCUGUUAUCACUUCUACCAAGUUCUCAGGAGCUCCGACUGCAGCAAGAGCAGUUUGAAUUAUUCGCAGAUAGAAACACCCGGACCAACUGGCAUGUUCUGAGACCUAAGGUAACAAGGAGGUUAUCUCGUCAAAAGUCAAAACCACAGCUUUUUUAGCAGUUUGCUUCCAUGACGUUGUAUAUUUUGCAGCUUUAUUUAUGUGUGUAUAUUUUUAAGUUCAAGAUCUGAUAACUACAUUUAAGCAUGCUAAUCUCAAAUAUUUUCCAAUUGCAUUCCAUGUUAGUAAAGUUCAAUCCAUGAGCAAACAAGCAAUGUAGGAAGUUGGAAAAGAAAAAAGAAGACCUUUAUCACAAUGCUGUUCCCUGAGAAGACUGCAGCCAACAUUGGAUUAAAGAUAUUGUGAAAUGGGUAAUUCCAUGAAACAAUAGCACCAACAACACCAAAAGGAGAAAAUUCCACUUUUGCAACCUUGUGAAGCAUUGAUCUCCCACAUGAACUGCAAGCCACAACACACAACCAUAAAUUCCCUUUACUCCCAAGGUAUCAAAGGCAGAAACCAUGUAAGUUAUGAAUCCACUAUUUUAUUGAAAUGCAAGGAAGAUAAACCAUUUUCAUAACAUACCGGUAUUCAGGCUUUAGCCACUUUUCACCCUCUGAAAGAAGCCAAUGGAUUUUUUCACAUGUAGUCAUUAUUUCUCCCAAGGAGGCAUCUACCAUUGUUUUUCCAGUAUCACGCGAAGAGAUACUAGCAAAAGUUGUUCAGAGAAAUCAUCCAACCCAGUCAAAUGAAAAUAGGAAAAUAAGUAGCAGUUUAGCAUGAGUAAGAGGCAAUUCCAAUGCAAUUAACUCUUAAGACCAAAAUUAAAUGUUGUCAUAUGUGAGAGAGAGAAAUCGAACAAACGGUAGGCUUUCAUAAUCAUGAGAUUCUUCAGUUACUUUUGCACUUGUUUAUUUAUGAUAAGUGAAACUCUAUUAUAUCAUUAGUUAUGUUGCAAAUUUUUGGACAGAAAACUUUAAAGCAACCAACACUUGGAAAUAAGGUCACUGACAUAAAGUUCUUAGUAUAUGAUUGUGAAACGAAAUUAUGCCCAAUGGAACCGUUUAACCUCAAAAUGCUUAGUACUCCAACAAUCAUGUUUCAAAGCACUUUCAAUCUAUUGGAAGAAGAGUGUUCACGUCAGAGCUAGAAGAGUGGGAGGGAAUAAAAUAACAAUAGCUGCUACUUCUGUCUGCAGCUAUCUUCACCUAUUGAUUAAGACCUUCAAAGUAAAUCUCUUUUAUUUCUUCUUUCUAAAGACGAGGCUAAGCCAACUGCAAAAGUUGUCUCAACUAUCAGUCUCUCCCGAAACAUUUUACAGUGUUACACCAUAGUAGUGUAUAACUCAAUCACCGAGAACAUUUCAUUUGGACGUCCAACAAUAUUAGGUCAUAAUUUGUGUCUCUGUACAUAUAAUGUUAAAAAAACAUGGUCAACAAUUAACCAAAAGGAUCUUAAGCAUUUCAGUAUCAUUCAUUCUGCUCCUCGGACAUAAUUUAAUGUGUCAAUACUGUUGGCAGUGUAAAAUAGCAGUUUUAAAUGGUAAGUGUCCCUACUUGCAUAUAAGGUCUUGAUGUUCAAUAAUAUACUUCAGAAGUAUACGUAGAAACAGGCGUCUUUGCUUGAAGCUACUCUUUGCCCAUAUCUUCUGAGCUUUCCUUGCCUGUACAACCCGCUCCUUAACCUGAGCAUGAUUUAGUUUGUUAAUUACAUUUGGCUUGCAUGUAUAUAUCUCACAAAAGACCGUGUUGAUUCUGGUUUUAGGGGCGAAGAACAAGGAAAUUAAUAAGAUUGCAGAUGUGAGCUGGAAUCUUGUAUAUGUUUAUCAUGUAAAGGUUCUCAUGAUAAUAUGUGGCAGCAAAGAGAAACAGUUAACUGAAUGCCCAAUCAAUUCCUGAUAAGAUGACUAAGUAUCUUUAUGCAAAACUUCAUAAAAGAACUUUAGAUACUGAACGUCUGAACCAUGUAAACAAGGGAAGGAGGGAAAAGGAAAAGGAAAAAUUAGUCUAGUGCAUGACAGGAAAUCUUGACAUUUAGUAUAGGGGAACACAAAUAUCAUAUUUAUAUAAGAACAUAAAUCUGACCUCAUCAGGUUUCAGCGCCGGGAAAUAACCCAGGUACUUCAUUGUUGCUGGUUCAUAGCACUGAACUUUGUCUGUAUGCCUUCUCGAGGGAAUCUAAAUGAGCAAAAUUAAGUGUGACAAUAUACAAGUGUCACAUUCUUUCACUUUACGGAAUGAACCAUAUAAAGUUCCACAAAAAAUAAGAGAGCAAAGUCCAUUUGAACAACUAAACGGACAUACAUACUACAUGAAAUCACAAACUGUGUCAUCGGACUUGUUCUCCUAAAGAGAAAUGCUUUCUUGAUAGUGUAAGUGAGUUGGAAGCGAGAGGAACUACUCUCAGUAAGAUGUGAGUUGACAAACUACAUAAAACUCAUAUUCUUGGAUGGAAAUGUUUUUGCAGUAACUUUUAACGUUUGGUUAUCUCGAAUUUGAGACAAUGUUUUGUCGAAAAAGUUAGUUCCAUUGAGAGAAGAAAAUUGACUUAAUAAACUUAUGGAUGGAACUCAUUUUCUUUAAAUAAAAUAUCCCCAUUCUAAUCUUAGUUCCAUUGAGAGAAGAAAAUUGACUUCAUAAACUUGUGGAUGGAACUCAUUUUCUUUAAUAAAAUAUCCCCAUUCUAAUCUUCUUUGUAUGGUUGAAACAAGAGAUAUGUAGCAAGAAUGGGGAUAUUUGAGCUCAUUCAUUCUCAAAUAUCCCCAUUCUUGCUACAUAUCUCUUGCAUCAACCAUCAAUAAGGUAUUUUUGUCAAAAUUAAGAUACCACCAAAACACAAUCAUCACAUUCUCUCUCUUUUCUUUUCUUUUGUUUAAAAGGUUAUGUCUGGGCCAGCUUGUGCACAACUUGGUUAAUCCACCAUAUAUUUUCUACCUUCUCACAAGUACUAUACCAUGUAAACUCAAGCUACCAAGGUUUAAAAAGAUAAGAAUAAUUCAUCUAGCAUAGCUUAUGUUGGGACUUUCAAUCUUGCUUCCCAAGGUUGUCUCAACAGUUAGCUACCCCCUAGGGAGCAAUUCAAUCCUCAUACUCUAUCCACCACCUUGUAUGAUAAUAAUAAUAAUAAUAAUAAUAAUAAUAACAUCACCUGCUUUUUUACUCAAUUUGACAUCGUAAAAUGUUUAAGUAAAUGAUCACUAGUGUAUGAUUUCUAAUGUAAAACACUUUCCACAUACCUCUAAUGGAAAUUCAAAUUGUUUUCUGCAAUUCAGUAAAUAUCUAUAUUCUAUAGCUAAGAGCCUCUUCAUAAAGAAAGAUACUACUAAAUGAGAGUUGAUGAAAUCCAACUAGUGAAAUUUCAAACACAAAAAGGGAAAAAAAAAGAAGCAAAAACAAAACAAUUAAACAAAAACAAGCAAAAUACAAACUGAUACCAUCUACAGUUCAAAUCAACAUCAGAUAAAAGUACCAAAUUCCAUUUAAGCAAGUAGGAAUAUCAUUCAUUACUUACAUAAAUGAAGCUGUUGUCUUUAGCCUGAUUCCCAUCAUCCAACACUACAAUACCAAAAACAUUAUUAAACAACCAACAAUGUAAUAGAUUCAAGAAUAUCAACAAUGUAAUACCAUAAGGAGUACAAGUACAACAACACCAUACCGGGAGGGUAGAGUAUACACAUACCUUACCCCAACAAAAGUAGAGAGGUUAUUUCCAAUAGACCCUCAGCUCAAAGGGAACAAUAGUCCAAAGAAGUCUAAUACCACAAGGAGUAAAAAAAUAACAAAUCAUCUAUUCACUUUGUCCCAAUUUAUGUGACACCUUCUACUUUCCAAGAUUCAAACUAUGUCAACUUGACCAUCAUUUCAACAUGCACUUUUCAUCAUGAGAAGAAUGUCAACUUAUAUUAUCUAUUUUUUUCCAAAAUACUGAGCUGAUCUAAUCUAAAUUAGAUUAUACCAUAAGGAGUUAAUUUUUUGUUAAAUAAAUCAAUUAAUCUACACCUUCUACUUUCCGAAACUCAAACUAUGUCAACUUUAACCACCAUUUCAACAUGCAGUUUUCAUCAUGAUAAAUUUUAAUUCUAAAAUACUGAGUUCAUCUAAUCUAUUCUAGUUUAGCUUCGAUAAGCUAAAAAUGUAACAUAAAUUGGAACUGAAUAAAUUACUACUACAACAUUACAUUUCAAAUAAGCAAUUUAAAAGUAGUUCAAACAGCAAAAUACAUAUGGAAGCUUACCAUCAGAAGUGUCGACAUCAAUGGAAGGGACAUUGUCAGGAAUGAGCAUCAACAGUAAUUUACAGAUCGCAAAUGCGAUAGCGAUAACAAUCAACGGCCACCAGAACGCCAUUAGAAGGUUUCUAGAAGCUUCGAAGAAGACUAAUUAGGGUUUUUCACACAACUCUUAGAAGGAAUUUGAAGGAAUCGCCAUAGCCAUAAGAGAGAAGAGAGAUUCUGAGUUCCUCGUAGACGUCGCUUUUUCAGUCUUCUAUUAAAUAAAUAAAUAAAAAUCAGUGGCGGUCUAAAAGUCGAUUUGCACACAUUUUAAAUAUUGAUAUAUUUUUUAUGGCUGGUUUGGCCGAUUGUACUGUUUAACUUGACUUUAUUUCAUAGCGUGGGAACAAAUAGACAUCUACGACUUUAUUUUAUAGCGCUUGAACAAAUAGAUAUAUACGACUUUAUUUCAUAACGUGUGAACAAAUAGACAUAUACGUCCAGUGUUUUAAAAGACUCUGUUGAAACUCGUCUCAGGGCUCGUUCUGGGGCGGGGCUCUAGCAAAACGCCUCGAGACUCAAAUGUGAGACUUACAUCGGAAUAAAAAUAAACUGCAAAAGCAACUAAGGAAAGUAGCAUUGAUGGAAUGGGGGAUCACACCUUCAGCGGAGAAAUAAGGUGACCAACCCUAACCCUUCAUUCUAUUCCAUAAAGCCUUGGUUUGUAAGACUUACACUCUAAGCGCCCGACUGUAUGCCCUAAGCACGCCCAACGCCCAACGCUCGAGGCUCGCCUUAUAGAUCUUACACAAAUUAUGUGCUAGAAACUUUAGUUAACAUUGUUGACCCUCAUAAUUCUUAAAUAAAUUAAUGAUACUUUAAAAAAAAAUUAAUCUAUAGAGAUAUGAAGAUCGAGAGUAAUUCAAAUAACAAGUUGUAGCAUCGCAUCUUUACUAUUUACACUGUGAAGGUGAUGAUUUAGUACGUAACAUUUUUUUUAAAAAUACGUAGCGAAAUUUUACUUUUCCACUUAUCAUUGGUCUUCAUGGUUUUGUCAUAUGUCUCAAAAUUAUCAUAUUUUAUUUAGCUAUUUGAAAGUGAUUUUAUUUUUUUCAUGAUGGAGUGAUGUUUUUAUUAUAAUAGUAGUAAGUUUUAUUGAUUAUUUUCUUCUUCUUUUUUUUUUGGAGGGGGGAAGGGGAGGGGUAAGGUAAAUCAUAUAGUAUGAUAAAAAUAAUUUUAGAAAUAAAGAUUCUUUUAUUAUAAAAAUUUAAGAUAUUAGAUUAUUUAUACUUGUAUAAUCAUGUUAGAAGUUUUAUUUUCUAUGAGUUUUCUUAAUCAUGUUUGUAAUUAUUUCAAACUAUUGAUAUUUUUUUUAUAAUUUCGUGUUAUUAUAUUAUUAUAUUAUAUUGUAAAUUGAAAUUUAAAGAUCCAUAGGGCUUACGCCUCGCCCUAUACUAAGUAAAAUGCCCCGCCUCACGCCCCCUCCUUUUAAAACACUGUAAACGUCCUACGUGACAUAAUCUAUGUAGGACAAUUAUAUUGUUUCAUUUUGGCAUAAAACAUAAAUAUGAUAUUUAACUGGAUUUCAUCUCACAUCUAUGUCCUUCAAUUUUUGGUGUGCACAAGUACACACUUAAACUUAUAAAGUUGAACGAAUAGACACAUGUCUUACGUGACAUAAUACACGUAGAACAAUUUGCAUCCUAUGUGGAUUAUGUUAUAUGUGAUGUGUGUAUUUAUUUGUUCGACUUUAUACAAAUUCAAGUGUCUACUUGUGAUUAUUCAAAAUUGAAGGACGUAGAUAUUAGUGUAUAUCUAUAUGCUUCACUAAUGAUCACUACGGGUUAAAUGGAAAUUCGGUGCAUAUAAUAUUUGUGUUUGUUGGGUUCGGAAAAGAGUCGCAUUCCGAAAAGUGUGUUAUAGAUAUUCUAUCCUAAUACAAACAUUAAUGACUAUUUCCAUAACUUAUAUCCAUAACCUACAGGUCAGAAACAAUUUUACCAUUACUCCAAAUCUCCUCGAUACAUGUUAGGAAAGGUAAAUUUCAGCAGAGCAUUGUCAGAAUCUAAGAAUGUUUAUAUUCUUUUGGUAAUACUCAAAUAUUAUUGUAAAAUAUUCCUAUAUUCUCAUAAAAGUAAUUAAUACAUAGUUUUUCUUUGCCAACAAUACUUUGCUUUCUGACAAAACAAUGCUUCUCUCAAAAUAAAGUAAACAAAUUAUGACUUCUCCUACAUGUUCAACUCAUGAAAAGAUACAAGUUUCUCUCAUGUUAUACACAUUUAUAACACCUAUCAAUCAUCAAAUAUUUCUACAUUUUAUGGUUUUUGUCAUCAACAACAUAUUCUGAUUUGCAUUCAUCUGGUAACUUCAUUUCACCUCUUACAUCCUAUAGACGUAGCGGAUUAUAAUAAGCAGAAUGCACUGACUCUGAAUCUUGAAUUUGUCCUUGCUUAGCGCGAUUGUUGGAGGUGAAGUAGUACAAAUUUGAGGUUUUUGACUUAUUUUUUUUCUUGUUUUUGCAGUCAUUUAAAAAGUUUAAUGAAGUAAGGCUUUUGGAGGCUUUGGAGGGAGCCAAUUCUACUCAUGUCUCAAGGAAAGAUGAAGGAAGGAGAUAUAUCUUACACAAAUGUCAAGAGAAAUGAUGAUGUAUUACGCGAUAUCGUGCAAGAAGAAGAAGAUCUUGCACAAUCAAUUGAUGAAAAGAUGAAAAAUGUCUCAAGUUUUCGACGUUUCAACAGAGUUCCUCAAGAACUUAAAAAGGGAAGUGAAUAUAGUUACUCUCCUAAAUUAGUCUCAAUAGGUCCUUUUCAUCAUGGAGUUGAUAACCUUAAAACUAUGGAGGAACAUAAGUGGUGUUAUCUCAACACACUUGUUAGUAGAAAACCAAUAAACACACAAACCAUUUUAGAUAAUUGUGUGAAAACACUUAGAAAUUUAGAGGAUAAAGCAAGAAAAUGCUAUAGUGAAAACACAUUUGAACAAAUUGGAAGUAAUGAGUUUGUUCAAAUGAUGUUACUUGAUAGUUGUUUUCUCAUUGAGCUCUUUAUCAAGUUUGUUAUAAAGGGUUUUCGACGUAGAGAUGAUAUACUCUUUAUCAACUAUGACAUGUUUUUCCGUCUUAGAUGUGACUUGAUUCUACUCGAAAAUCAGAUCCCAUUCUUUAUCCUUCACCAAAUGUUUCACUUAGUUCCAAUUCCUAAAGAAUGUACUUACUCCCUCAUGCAACUUGCUUUACUCUUCUUUAGAAAACUGAUUCCUGGUGAUGGACUUGUAACUAUAGAGAAAUUUGGUCCUAAUGUUCACCAUAUACUGGACUUGAUUCAUCAUUGUUAUCUUCCAACGAGUCCACAAGUUCACUCAAAUGGAACACAAAAACAUAUGCAUAAUGUGUUACAUCUUCAUGAUGUAGGGAUUAAGUUCAAGAAAGCAAUAAGUGAUAGUGUCAUGAAUGUAAGAUUCACUAAAGACAGAGUUUUGGAAAUUCCAUCAUUGAAAAUACAUAGCUACUCUGAGAUUUUGUUCAAGAAUAUGGUGGCAUUGGAGCAAUGUGGAACCUUUAGAAGUGGAGCAAAGCACGUUGCGUCUUACGUUUACCUCAUGAAAAGUCUUGUAAGGUCUGCAGAUGAUGCAAGUUAUUUGACAGAGAGAGAGAUUUUGGAUAGCAGUUUGUAUAAUGAUGAUGAGAUUUUUCAACUGAUGAUGAGGCUUCAUGUGGAGUUUGAUGUCAAGGAUUUUUAUUAUAGUGGACUUUGUGAGAAAGUUAAUGGAUAUAAGAAGAAAAAUAAGUGGAAAAAAUGCAGCCAGAAAAUUAGCAAUGUAUAUAAGAAGACUGCCAAAGGAAUUUCAUGCUAACAUUUGUUUUUCUUUCGUAGUUUUGUGUUUUUGCUGCAAUUUUAGUUUCUUUUGUUUGCAUUUUUACUGCACUAUGCUUGAGAAAUUAUUAUAUGGAGAUGCGGAAUUAUAUCUAUACAUGCUUGUUUGUUUUAUUACUGUAUUCAAAGUCAAAACUUUACUGUACCUCUUUGUAACUACGUCAUUUGUCCGUAUAUGUUUUGGCCUUUUCUUGUUGUUGCUUCUGCUUGUUAUUGUUGCAUCCUUUUCGUUUUUCGUUCAGAGGGCCUAUCGAAAACAAUCACUCUACCUUCUCAAAGGUAAGUACUACUCUACCCUCCCUAGACACUAAAUUUAUUGUUGUUGUUACAGCAAAAGAACAUAUAAUAUAGCAUAACAUAAAAAACGGUUCAUUAAAAAACUUGACCAUUAUACGAAAAUGUAGUUAGAUAUGGAAGAUUGUUAUAGAGAAAUCUGAUUGUAUUACUCUUUUACUUGAACAUACAUAUAUGGUUUUGAGUAUUAAGAAUAAAGAAACCAAUCAAUGUCAAACUGAAUUUCUUUGCUUCAUCUCAACUUCUUCACAUCUCAGAGAAAAGACGAUUGUUUUUCUAUACAAUAACACUAAGAAAAUAACAUCUGGUAAAUCAUGUUUACACAUUGGACAAUCUUUAUAAUCGAUGUCACAAUAGCAAAAGGAUAAAUAUACUACAUUUUUUCUGCAUAAGUUGGCUGAAAGCGAAGUAAAUUGCCCCUGUCGAACUCCAUAACUACUGCUGGCAGAUUUAUGAUUCAUCCAUAAAGACAGCGCCGUGUCCAUUAGCUUUCAUGAAUUUCUUAAUCAGAAGUGCAAGUAUAGCAAUUGUAAGUCCAACUGCUGCCCAUGUGAAGAAACGGUCAUCAGCCUGCCUCGGAAUGCUCUGUUGAGGUGUAUGCAAUAUUCGAUGCUCAUUAGGCCGUACAGCAGGGGGCUCUAUAGGUGCAUGUACAGGAUCAGCAUCUAAAGCCAAUUCACGUCUUUCUUCAGUAGUUGUGUCAGCAACAGAUGGAUUAGGACGUCUUUCUUCAGUAGCCUCAUUGCUGGGGUUCUCAGGACUCUCUUGAACCCCGUCCUCUCUAUUACUGUUCUGUUCUUCAGGAGCUGGUGAGGUAGUAGCUUGAGGAACUGGUGGUGCUUUGCUUAGCAUGUAAUCAUGUAUCUAUAAAAUAAACCAACUAUUAAUUCUCAUGCCCACAGAUAACAACAUAUUGGCUGUCAAAAUGAUAUUCAGAUAAUGCUAUACCUCGUCAAUCAGCUUCUGGCGCUCAGGAAUCCCAUAUCUUGGAGCCACAUCACGAGAUUUAAUAGCUAAAACACGCCUUUCUUCCUUUGUGUAUUCUAGUGAUCCAAGGGCACCAUUUGGGCUGGUAGGCAUAAAUGCGAUCAGAGCUACCAGCGCAGUGCGAACUGCAAAUCAAAAGUAAAACAAUUAAAUACAGGUUAGCUUCAGAAGCUGUGCACCUGCCAAAACAUGGGAAACAGCAUCCAUUAAUUCAGAAAACUAUACCACACAGUAGCUUGAUCCACCGAAAAAUGCUCCUCUCUAGUCAAUACAACUAAGGAAUAAUAAUUGCAAAAAAAGGUUGCUCACACUUCACUUUUUUAUUUGAAAUUUUUGCCUACUACAGUGUCUGCAUUUUUGUUUUGCUCAAGUACAGUACACCAGCAGCCAUUAUAAAAAAGUUUAGCGCACGUAUUCAAUCAUAUCUUCUAUCUUUUACAUCCAUCAACACAACCUCAUGCUAUAUUUCAAUAACAUAGACUCAGCUAAAUACAGCCACAAGUUAAAAGCAAUGGAGCAUAUAAUUUUCGAGGGAAAUUUCCAACUCAUGCAGAUGAAGAUAUCUUUUGAUGUCCUAAUAUGUCAUUGCCUAAAAUUUGCAACAAGAGGAACUGUUCUAUUGCUUUCAUGUAAACAGGGUAUCUGUCAAUAUAUCCCAAGAAAAGAACACUAAGACAACAAUAUGAAAGUGAAAUUCAUCAAAAUAUAACACAUAGGGAAAAAUGGUAAGAGAGAAUGAUGAAGUUACCACUCCAUGACGGUUGCCAGUGCUCAGGAUGAUGAUUAGAAAUACUCAAACAAAUCUUGGUUUGCGUUUCAAAACGUCCAUUUGGCUGAAAAGAGCAAAACCAUGAGUUAGCAGAUUAUUAAUAUUAAACAUGAAAUGAAUCAACUCUAAACCUAGAUGGUAAUGGAAUUUGGCUUCUCCUGUUUGUAGCCUGACCCAUCCACAAAACAGACUCCCUUUUGCACCACCACCCCCAUUAAUCCCAUCUAUUCUCUUUCAGUUUGUUAAUCCGCGUACCUUUUGUUUUCCUUUUCCAAACUUUUUCGCUACCCUCCUGAACGAAUUUGUGUAGCGGGGGAGGGGGGGCUUGGGUCACACCUCAAAACUUAUUCAAGAUUUGCACAUGGGGCAAAGCAACGACUUCCUUCAGACUCUUGAGUCAGAUCUUAUCGUAUGGUAAAAAAUUUCCUAAGAUUUGCCGACUUUCCACUUGAAUUAGGAAUCUCUUAGCCUCUUUUUUCCCAUGAUACCUUUUUUUAUCCCUUUUUUUCACAUCAAAACUUAUUAGCACCCUGCCCGGCCCAAUCUGUAAAGUCUGCUUGUGGCAGGAUGGGGUUUGACCAACAACGCUCGCCCUAUUUUAAUUAAUAAACCUUGUUCCAUAAAAUGACUCAAGGAGUAAUACAAGCUUUUAAAAUAGAAAGUAACUCACUGUCAAAAGCAUGAAAGAAGGAGGCUUGAAAGGAUAUUCGGCAGGUAACUGGAUUCGCCCAUGAUAAAUCCCCCCUUCAAACUCAGAAUCUCGUGGACCCCUGAUUGCAAAUUGCCAUUCAAAUAUGUUCUCCUGAAAAAGUAAUAUAAAGUUCAGUUUCAAAUUGCUGUGUCGUUGUGCAACUUCUAGAAUUAAAAAUAACUUGUAAAUGGAAGACAACCAGUCAUUUAUCAACAGAAUUUCAUGCAAGACGCAACCUUUUGAAAGUUAUAUCGACAGAAUCAAUUAUGAUGAAAUUCAUUUACCAGUGAUGGAUUCAAGAUCAUAUAUACACAUGUUACCUCAUAGGAAUAGAAGGAAAAUGCCCAAAAAUCAAAUCUUGACCAUGUAUAUCAUAACACCACAUAGACAUCACACAGAGAGCUAGAAGAGCACAUAGAUCAUUCAUUGUUAGUGAGGUUUAUUCUUCAGCAGGAUCAACUAAUAUCCUUGACAUAUGAACUUAGAUCAUAAAACUUUAUCGAAGCUUAAGAGUUUUAUAUCAUGAGCAUUCUUAUAUAGAACCACUAUCAUAUUAAAUACUAGAAAUCAAUGGUUGCUGCCUUGUCCAAUUUUCAAUUUAUUUUAUUUUGUCAGCAGUAAAUACAGCAAACAAGUUUUUGCCAAACAAUUUCAAAUUAUAAAACUUGUACAUCCAUGCAGGAAAAAUUGCAUCAAGGAAACAGCUGCCCUACCAAUGCAGUAAACCAUCACUUCCAUAGCAAACAAAUACACACACGCCUCCCCACCCCUCGCGACAAAGCAAAUUAGCUAUAUCCUCUUACCUUGAAUACCAACUAACCACACACCCUAUUUAUAUCUACACUCAUACAAGCAGACAAAUUCUCCAAUGUAUUGGACACUUCUUGCUUAUCCCAGUAUAUUUGACUAACUUUCAAAUGGAUCCAGUAAAUUUACUUACAUCCACUUGUUUCACAAUUUUAGCUCAUGUCAAGUGAAUUAGACUAAUUUUCAUAGCCAAAUCAAACUACAUUAAUCCUCAAUUCUGAAAAUUAACACAUAUAAUUUGCAAUUCACCUAAAAAGUUAAUCUUUUUAAUAAAUUUGAAUCUCACAAAGCAAAAAAUGCACCACAUUAAAAUUCUAGAUCCAAACAGAUAAAACAUGAAAGGAUAAGAUCGAUUUCAUAAGAAAAAAAAGGAAAAUUAAGCAAUUAAAUUGAAACCUCAAGAGGAAGGCUCAUGAAAUCAUCGGAAGGGUUUGAUUGCAUCUCUUUAACCUCCUGUAAGAUUCUCUUCACCGCUGGAUUUUUCAGAUUAUACUUGUCUUCCGCCAUAUCUGUUACUCAGAGCCGCUGCCGCUGCCGUCGCCGCCGUCUCUGGUCACCGUAAACCCACAGCCGGUCAAAAAGUAGCACCGAUAAUGAUGAAUAUGAAGAAAAAAAUUGGUGGGUGAGAAUAUAAUAAAUAUAAAGAAAGUGAAGAUGGCGGGUGACGCGUCAUCACUAUGACGUGGCGACUAAUUAUUGGAUAAAAUGACAAAAUCUUAAUGAAUUGUUUUAGUAUAAUAAUAAUUCAUGAUUAUGAAAAGAUUAAUAUAUUGACUAGAAGGGAUGGAUUUAUAGCUUACCGCUCACGCUUAUCGAAGUUAUGCUCGAAAACUUCGUCUAAGGAAUAUUAUAGAGAGAAUUUUAUUUAUAGCUUACCCCUCACGCUUAUCGAAGUUAUGCUCAAAAACUUCGUCUAAGGAAUAUUAUAGAGAGAAUUUUUUGUGUUACGAUAAAUUAUUUUAUACCAAUUGAGUUGUUAGAGGCUUCUUCAACGUGACAGUUAAGUACUAUAUUGUAGAUUACCCUAACUUACUUUUCCCUUACUAGGAUUGACUCUUUAUAAUUCUCAAUUUAGUAUUUAUGAUAGAAGAAAAUUGAACAAAUUUCAUGACAUUUACGAUUGAAAAUUUUGAAACAUUACUUGAAAAGCAUAGUCGCAAACUAUCGAAUAUCAAUCAUUAUUCCUUAAAAGGCGUGUAAACUUGAUUAAAAGAUUCAAGAUCCCAUUAGUUGAAAUGCAAAGUAUGAAACACAUGAUGUUGAAUUCUCAAAUUGGGGACUUGUAAUCUUGUUUCCUAUGGGUAAGCCUCGAAAAGAGGAAUGGGACACAAAAAGACAAACUUGUGGAGAACUUCACCAUCUAGAAAAAGUAGUCUUCUAAAACUCCAAAAAAUAAUUUAAAAAGAUGUAGCUAUCCAAAAACAUUAAUAUUGACCCUUUUAGUGUGAGACUAAAAAAACACCAAUGACCAAAAUCAACCAACACAUCUCCAUCAUGUUUUACUACACAAGAAAGAAAGAAAUUAAGCAACCAAGAGAGAGGCAUGGAAAAAAGGGCAAAACCUUAAACAACAUUGCAUAGUCAUACAAGUUAAGUCUGAAAAGAAUGAGAUGUAUGCAAAUCUUAUUUUUAUCUUUACGGGCUAAAAAAGUUUCAAAAAAGGCAAAAACUUUACCUACACAUAGUGAAGUUCUAGUUCUCUGUCCUAAUUCAUUCUUUCAAAUAAGUAACUAAAAACCUUGAAGUUGUUGAGGUACAACGUCGUUCCAGUAUGAUCCCACAAGUGAGAUCUACUAGAUACACAAAUCUUAUUUCUACCUUGUGUGAGGCAAAAGAUGUUUCCGAUAAACCCUAGGUACAAGAGAAGUGUUUUCAAAAACAGGUUUGACAAAUACAAAAUAAAGUCAUGGUGAAAAUACUAUAGAAAGUUGUUGAGAUACAAAAGAGAGAAAACCCACUGGACUUGAUAUGUAGAGUAGCAAAGAGAUUGGGGGGGGGAGGAAGCCAAGUGAGCUACCACUGUAAAUCUAAUGUACAUAUAUGCAGUAAAUGUUAAUUGUCCCACUCAAAUUUUAAUAUACAAUUAAGCAACAUUGAAACAGAAAAUUUGGCCUCAAGCAACACUGACCUCUCUAAAUUGAAGAAUAAACUUUUCAAGGGCAAAAGUUGGUGCCCAUACAUUGCAUACAAGUGCACAUAACUAAGGAAAGUGAAGAUGGAGUUGGGGGUAGAGAUGAAACCAAAGAAUAGGAGUAACCAAAAUUCUAUAGCUAUGUAAUGUUUUACAGGAGCAAUUGGAAAUGCUAAACGAAAGAGAAAACUCAAGACGGUGGCUAAUCUCUCCCCACGCUUGUAACAACACUGUACAGACUCCCCUCCACCAAUAGUUACGAAAUUCAACAAUCGAAUUGCCUGUUAGAUCAUCACUCAUGUCGAAGUUGUACAGAGGUGUCAUUUGAAGCAAAGCACAUGCUCAAGCAAUAUCUUAUAAAUCAUUGUAGGAGUCAAAAUGCCAUGAUGAUCUCAAAAGAGUCAUGAUCCAUUUACAGCCAUUUCAGGUGAUGAUUUUGGAGGUAUUAAUGGAUAAUCCUCUCCUCUCUGCCUAUUAUCAGGAGAAGUGUGCAUGCUCUCAGAAUAACUUUUAGGACCAUUUGGUUCUCGGUGGUCAUGAUUAUCCAAAUCAGCACUCCCAUUAUCAGUAGGAUUCCCUUUCUCCUCGUGGUUGGACUCGACAGAUUUCUCAUCCCCAUCUGAGCAUGGACCAUCUUGUACUGUACUAUCCAUCUUUUUAGAGGGUAAAACUGCUUGACUUAAGGUUGAGCAUAAAGCAGCAAAAACACUGUCUCGAGACUUUGAACCUUUAGCAAUACGCUGCAACCUUUUUGGCUCAGGCUCUUCUUUCUGCAACAGCUUACGUUUCAACGGGAAAGACUCCACUGACCCAUCUACAUCAGAAUUAUCUGACUGCUUCCUAGGUGGUGGCUUAUAAUCUUCAUCCUCAUCAUCAUCAUAAUCAACAAGCCCCCCAGAUCUAAAGAACAGGAGUCUCAAAAUAUGUUCCCUUAGUUUAAUAAAUCCAGAUUCCAGCAGUAACAGUUACUUACCUCACAGGUGAGACGCUUGGAGCAGAUCCAUUAGGCAAGGCCGGCUGAGACUGCACUCUACUUGCAUUAGUCACGAAUGCUGAGGCAGAAUCUUCCUCGUCACUGAAGGAUACACAUAUUCAGUGUACCAUAUAUAACAUUUUUACAUGCAAAAAAGUAAAGGCAUACCUCUCUUCAUUGAAAUAUUCUUCUUCUUCUUUCUCUAAACCACGGUCAUCAACUCGUUUCCUAGGGUCGUCUAAUAGAUUACCGAUACUUCUCGUUCCUGCACUGUCUAGAGACUACAAAAGACCCAAAACCAUUAUGAGAGCCAAGCAUCACUAUCAAGAGUGUAAUGGUGAACAACAGGCCCAAUGAAUAAUACCUGCUCAUAUUUAAUUUUCAAUGAGUGGAUCGAUGUCAACUUUUCAAACUUGACCAGUUCAUCCCAGAAUGAGUCGACUAAAUACUUGAGCAAUAUCUUCAAGUUAUCCUGCAUUAUAUCAUGUCAGAUCCUAAGAAAUAAAGAAGCCAUGUCACAUUUAACUUUUGCAGUCUAAGCAGGUCAAGGAAGUAAGAUGCAACCUUACGAAUAUGCUCAAAAAGUUCAAGAACAGCUGAGUUUAGAAGAUUGUAGCGAUCUCCAUUAGCAACAAAGACAUCAACAACAGGUUUUAGGAGAUUGUGCUCUGCUAUGUAGUUCAUCAAAUUCUCAUCCUGCAGUUCGUAGUCAGAAGAAUUUUAAUAUAUUCACAAAUAUACAGAAGGGAAACACUCGAUGAUGAACAUAAAAAUAUACUUCACAGUUCAGUCUGCCAAAUUUGUAGCUUAUUGGCGGACAUGUGAAAUGACAUAAGAAGAAGAGAGAAAAACUCUAGCCGAAAUUGAUUGGUUAUACAUGAAAAGAUGAAAAUUGACUCAUGGUUAACCAUGUUUUUGUGUACGUAAUUUGCAUCUCCUUGAUGACUUUCUAAUACAACAUCUUACUUCAUAAAAAAAAAAAAACUCAAUCAUAGUGAACUUACUUCAAACCUACUACUCUAUCUCAUAAGUUCUGGUUACCAGGGAUUUUAGUACAUAUAAACUUAAUUGAUGCACAUAAAAUCGCAGGGUAGAGGAUUUAAUUAGAGGGUGAAAAUUUAUCUGUGCUGCUAGAAGAGCUUCAUCAUCUUACUUUUACAAAUUUUUGUUGCACAAAAUCUUACAUAAUAUCAAAAAGUUAAUUACUAGAUCGAAGUUUGGAUUUGAUUCUUAAUUUUGAUCACCCCUAUUCUACGCCUCAGUGGACUCUAGGAGUCUAAGGCGGUGUUUGGAUUAGCUUAUUCAUAGGUACUUUUGGCUUUUAAGCACUUUUUUGGUUUUAGAGGUGUUUGGAAAAGUUGAAAAGUGCUUUUAAGCACUCACCUUUAGGCCAAAAAAGUUCAAAAAUAAGCCAAAAGUAGGGCAUCCCCUACUUAUGGCUUUUAGCUUUUGACUUAUAAGUUGCUUUUUAUAAGCUUAUCCAAACAGGGCACUAAAGUACUUCAAGUCUUUCCAGUUUUACCUAGUUAUUAUAAGAUAAAAACCUGCAUAAGAUAGGGUCAUUAAAAAAAAACUUGCAUAAGAUAGCUACCAGUUUCAUUCAACAUUAACCAAGUCUCUUGGGCAAUCAUGAACUCAUGAAUCACCACAAGACAAACAGAACAAGACAGAAAUAAGGAGGAUCACUAAAAGAAAAAUUACAGGCCCAUCUACAGUGCUAUGCGAAAAGCCUUUUAUUUUAAUGACCCAGACAUUCCCUGCAAAAUUAGCUGGCCCGAUCCCAGUUGGAGCACAAGUUCGAACUCAUGACAUGCGCCUACCAUGUAUACCACGCUAUACUUCAUUUAUCGUUUGACCAAGGGCCAAGGCCUUGGGGGCUACUUAUAUUAAAACAUGUAAGAGCAUUUAACGGGGUAAAACAUUCACCAUAGAGGACAAAUAAAUCAAAACUUGAUCAAUUCAGUCAUGUCCACAGACAACACUCUCUUGCUUAAUAAAAGUAACAACUCACAUUGCGGGAAAUAAGAGUUCUCAUAAAUCUAACAGCAGCAACUACCAGGUACUUCUCUCUUCUUCGAGUAAGAAACAGAACUUUAUCUAUCACAUUAUUAAGAAGAAAGUUGCACCUGAAACACAGAAAAGAUAUCCACAUUAAACCAAAUAAUCAAAUUUAGCAUUUAAGAACCAAGUAAUUCCAUACCAAGAUGAGAAGAUUACUUUAUUCUGUAAGGAUGGUGCACAAUACAAAAACAUAGGAGAUCACAAAUAUUUAGUAGUAUUUCAGGCUUGACACUACUUUGCUUUCCAGUCCCUCCAUCAAAACUCUCAGAGUUACUGACAGCUUGGGUGAUACCAUCCGUCGGGCAAGAUGAUGUUAUAACAUCAAUGAGUUGACUUAGGUGCUUCUCGUAGAAGAUUUCAACAAUGUUCUCUUUCUGGAACAAAAUUAAAAGAAAAUAAUAAAAACAAGACUUCAAAAUAGUUGUUGAAAUGUAAGAACAAUAAGAUGAGAGACCCUUUUAUUUAUUUUUUAUGUAUCGAACACAUUGUGCGGAAGGGGGGAUCUUUGCAAAGCCAAGAACCCAAAAAUUUCAUUUCAUAAUAACGGAUUGUGAAAUGUAAACUCAGAAUCUCUGCAUACUCUGAUGCCAUGUGGAUUAUGUGAACCACCUCAUCAAAGAACUUGUGCAAUUAAAGAGGAGACACGUGCAUUUUCUUUGUUUUUUUCUCAAACAAUAGCAAUCGAAUACUUCAAAAAGCAAUUAAGUCACAAAAAAAACUAAUCCCCAUCCCAAAGCACAAGGGAAUCAAAUUGGAGAUGCUUUGUUUUUCGAUAACCGGAAAAUCUGUUGCUUCUAGUUUUGAAACUAGGUGAACAAUGGGUAAACUCCUUAACCUUUUCCAUUUAACUGCCAAACUUGAUCCAGAGCAGGAUUAAAGCUCAUUGUGUGUGCCUGCCACAUAUCCUGUGUUGUGCACCUUUGCCCUUGAACCGAAGCCCUGGGUAAUCAAGUUUGCAGAUGCUGAACCGCCUAAAAUAGUAGUGCCUCCACAGGCAGAUACUAAACCACCUAUAGCAGUAAUGCCUCUACAAGUUCAAAUUUCCCAUAGGUAUAUCUUUAGAACUUCAGAAAGGAGAGAAAAUAUGGUACCACACAUCAAAAUCAAGAAAAGGAAAUACAAUAAUGAAGAAACCAUAGAGAAAAUAAAGGAGAAAAGAACAGUAGCAACAACAAAUAAUACGAUAACCGAAGCAUAGGAAACAACAAGUAUAAAUAAAAUUGAAGCAUAGGGUAGUGGGAGAGUACUAAUAAUAAUACUAAUAAGGGACCUACUAACCUUCUACCAUAAUCCUUGACUUCCAUAUCCUCCUAUCUAGAGUCAUGUUCUCAGUAAGCUGCAUGUGUGCCAUGUCAACUAAUCACCUCUCCCUAAUUCAUUUUCGGCCUACAUCUACCUCUCCUAAUACCCACCAUAGCUAUCUCCUCACUGGGGCAUUGCGCGUCUCCUCUACCCAUGCUCAAACCAUCUCAGCCUUGCCUCCUCAUCUUGUCCACCACGGAGGCCACACCCACCUUGUGCCAAAUAUCUUUGUUCCUAAUCCUAUCUCUCCUAGUAUGCCCACACAUACAUCUAGGGAACAAGCAGUAGACGUGAUCAGAAUAUUGUAAUGCAGUAACUCCACUUAGACAGGUCAGAUAUUAUCAGUAUCUAGGGAACAAGCAGUAGACGUGAUCAGAAUAUUGUAAGGCAGUAACUCCACUUAGACAGGUCAGAUAUUAUCAGUAACAAACAGUGUAAUCCCACAAGUGGAGGUCAGAUAUUAUCAGUCCGAAAUAGAAUUUGUUAAAGAUCACUCACCAUCACUAUACUUGGGAAGACAUAAGAGAAAAUGCUAGAUCCAUAAGGAAAAAAGUACAUUGAACAUUAUGUUCGAAGUGCCAACCCCGUCAUUAACUUGACCACCCAGAUUUUUUUGGACAAGGUACUAAAAUUUAACUACCCGGAAAAAAUAAAAAGCUAGAACUGUCGUGGCAAAACCAGAAAAGCUAUAAGCAAAGCACCUGUGAUCCUGAUGCAUAUGAAUCCAAGAGACUGCGCAGAAUUUCAAGAAAUUGGCAAUGCAUAUCAUCCUCAAAAUCUGUUAGCAUACCUUUGACCUGCAAAUUUGAAGCAUGCUAUUACUUACUUCGAGUACCUUCCAUGGUGGCACUAAAAUUAACAAAUAUGGUCUAAGCCACAAAGGACAUGUCUUUCUGCUAAAAUUACAAAAAUAUCCAGCAUAGGAAACAGAAAACAUCAAAAAAAUGAGAAAUGGAGGAAAGACCAAAUACUUCUCCAGCACCAUUUGAUAGUAACAUAAAGCCAAGAAAAAAGAAGAUGUGUACUAAAAUUAACAAAUAUGGUCUAAGCCACUACAAGGACUUGUCUUUCUGCUAGAAUUACAAAAACAUACAGCAUAAGGAAACAGGAAAUGUCCAAAAAGAUGAGAAAUGGAGGAGAGACCAACCACUUAUCCAAUUAUUUAUAUCAUGAAUCAAGCACCGCAUUCACAGCAUAGAAUAACUGACCAUUCAUACAUGACAGAAGAUGCCUCAGAAGAACAUGUUGGAGGGGGCAGGCAUUAGAUAUCAAAACGCAUAUAUUGAAGCACAUCAUUGCAAAAAUAAAUAAAUAUUACAUGAAUGAAUGCAUCUUAAGAGAAAGGUAACCAACAGCCAGAGUCACACUGAUAUACUGGAUAUUCCAUUAGUCUCCACCAUCAGGCAAAAGUUGAUGUAAAAUUCUAAGGAAAAGAAGAGAAGAAAAAAACAAAAUUUUGCUCACCAGAAGCCCAAACAGUGCAAGACCUUCCUGGCGAAUUACAUAAGACCGCAGAAGAUUUGGAUCUUGAUUCAAGAAAAGAAUGAGGAUGUCUGUCCUGCAUCAGUUAGAAUCAUUUUGGAUGAGAAUUUCAUGGAAGCAAAAACUACAAUCAUUUUAAAAGACGAAAGAAAAAGGAAAAGAGUCUACUUGCUAAAAUAUAACGAUAUGGUCCAUUACCCCGUCAGGACUAGCUUCUUGUCUUGGCUCUCCAAAACAUCAGCUAUGAUAUCGAAUAUGCCUUCGUUAAUAAGAUCCCUGCAACCAUAAUAGUAUUUGCAGUUCUAUCAGCUCCAUUUGCUAUGAAAGCAACAUAAGAUAUAUUAGACUGAUAUUAAUACAAAAGAUGCAGCAUAUGAUGCAUACCUAAAUAGACGAUGUUGCUGGCCCACCUGCAAACUCUUACUCAAAGUACAAAACUCAUGCAAAAAGUGCACCUGCCCAAUCCAAGAAAAGGAAAUAACAAGUAAAGUAAUGAUGAGACUACAAAUACCCUUUCCCAGAUCUCCCGAUAAACAUCAGAAUAAGGAACAAAAAAGUAAAGGGUGAUAAUACUACCAACAUUUCAAGAAUAACUGACAAAGGAGUGCACUAUAAAGGAAUAUCAUUAGCGCAAGAACAUGCCAAAUGUUAGGAACAGGUUUUUGGAUUCAUAGUGAAACAAAAGACAAUAAUUGUUAGCACAUCACAGAACAAACUGGACUACAGGAAAGUAGCAUCAGUAGUAAAACUAAUGUUAAACAGACGCAAGGAUAUAUAAGUUUACCAAUUGCAGUCCCACCUAAGCUCAAGGUUUUCCUACAUUUCCAUUAAACAAAUUUUAUAUCUGACAAGAUGAGUAAUAAGAGGGGAGAGGAUCUUGACACAAUCAGAUCCCUAGAGGAAAGGGUGGAGCUCGAUUUUUUGUCAAAAAAAAAGGGUGGAGCUCAAGUACUUCUCACCAGUUGGCGUAAUAAUAAAAUUUUACUUUCAGUUGUCAAAAUAAAUUUUCACCAGUUGAUUCUAGACCCCAAAUCUAGCCUACACAGAAUUAUUAAUCCAUAGGUUGAAGGAGACGAUCCUGGAUUCUACUCAGAUUCCUCCCCAGCUUGUAUUAGAACUCAUAACCAUAAUGCUGGUCAGGACCAGGAUGCACAAAACACACGCACCGUUUACAUUUAAAAAUAUAUGGAUUUUUGCAUAAUAUUGGGGGGUUUGGGGGUUGGGAUAAUCAAUUACCCUCAAGUUUCUGCUUUGACCAAUUCAAAUUUAAUGAGAAAACAGCAAGCAAAGAAAAUAUAAGAGAAUGACCAACCAAAACAAAAAAUAGAUGAGUCCAAUGACUAAACGAACAAGCAAUUAUCAGAAGCUGACAACAUAAUGAACAAUUAAAUGUCUUCUGAGAAAAAAGAAAAAGAAACCAACUAAUAGCUGCAAUGCAACAGAGGCAACCCAAAAUAAAGAGGAAACAACAAUUUUCUUUACCAAAUUUUUCUUUGAUUCUGCAGAUGUAGAAGGCAACUUUAACUUUCCAAGCAAAUCCUGAAUGAAGGUGCUAUCAUCUUUUAAGAGAGAUACAACCUAUAUCAAAACCAAACAGUCAAGAACUAUAUUAACCAGAAGAAACAACAUUUUAACUUCAGGAAGAAGAUCUUACAACUGCAUUGUUUGAAUGGAUUAUGGAAUUAAGGUUUGCAACUAUUGCAUCAUCCAACACUCGAGGCAAAAUGGCAUCCUGAAAGUAAGCCUACAAACUGUAAGUUACAUUGAUAGUAUAAGGAUGUCAUCUAAAAAGUAAAACAUAAUCACCUUAAGAUAGCCAACUCGGUAUGUUUGAUGUAUCUUCGAUAGGACUAUCGAAUCUUUAAUAGAUAUAGCCUAACACACCCACAAGGAAAUAACAGAUAUCAAUAAAUGCAAACUGAACUAACAUUGAAGACAUUUCAGCAAACAUUCCUUAGAGGUACUAUUGCAGCAGGAAGAAAAGGUGUAGAAAAGAAACAGUGUACCUCCUUAAAGACCACAUGCUCUUUGAGAAAAUUGCGAUGAUGAACAUGAGGAGCAUCUGGAUCAUCUGUUGACCAAAAUAUGAAUCAGGUCGUCAGGACAUUCCAAAAUGAGAUCAAUGUCUUCAGAGUAAGAGGUUGGAGUAAGGGGUUGGCCAUUCAGUAUAUAAUAAUUAAACAAAAAGUUCUAUAGGAAUUAAAAGACAUUUUAACUAAAAGUUGAAAGCACUAGGAUCAAAAACGUACAUUCAAGACACCCAAUAAUAUCUAUUAUCAGCUCAUCACCAAAUAUUUUUUCAAAGAUCUGAGUGCUAUUGAGCAUCACUGCAAGAAACCAUUUCAUGCUGAUUAAUUCAAUCCCACAAAACAAGCCAAAGCAUACCCAAAUGAAGAUGGGAGACAAGUAGGAAAUACUAACUGAUUCCUCUCACUAUUUUGAAAAUAAUGUGAAGAUUCUCAAUAUUCUCCAGAUCUUCGGAAAUCCUAAAUAAAUCCAUCAGCUUACGGAAAAAAACUUGCUGCAGAACAAAAGAACCCGGUUCAGUACGAUUCACCUAUUGAUCCGGAAAACAAGAAGACAAAUGAUUAAACAAGUAAUUCUUAACAUGAACAGAAAUCAAUAAAAAAGCGAAACACUUGUCUUGUUUCGCCCUUUUUGGGAUAGGAGUAGGGAGGGCUCCUCUCCCGUUUUUCUCGUCUUAUACAUAGCGUCAGAAACUCCUCGAGAGUUCACCACUAACUUGAAUAGAAUACUGCACUUUGCAUAAAGAAUUUUCACAAACAGUACAAAAGAGUCGGUCAUUUCCAACUAUUCCAAGACUUGUAAAAGGAUGAAGGAGGCAUGCAAGGAGACAGCAGUGACUGAAGAUCUUUCAGAGUUUUGCCAGCGACAGAAAAAUCUUUACACAUCCAGAGUGAGUAGUGGACCUAUGUUGAGCUACCAGCUGGCCCAGAUUGUUUUCAGUUUGAUAGGAAAAGAGCCAAAGUGGUGAAAAACAGGAGGGGUGAAGAGGGGUGGGGGAAGGGCACUGGCAGUACAGAGUACUAACCUGUACAUAUAGCCACCACUUUAAAGGCAGAGCAAAGUUUAUUAUACCAAUCAAAAUUUUACAUCUAACUUACACAAAACAAAGUUAUAAUCAGCUGAUGGUUCAGUUCCAAUUUUUCCAACUUAUCUAUAACAGAUAAUCAAGUUCUCAUCCAGUUUUUGUUAAUGUACUUGAUAAUUGCUUCAAAAAGGUGAAGACUGGACAUCUAUGUUUUCAAGUGGGUAAUGAAUACGACAGCAAUUAAUUCUGAAGCUGACAUGCUCGAAGCAAUUUCACAACCAUCACUAAUCUUCAAUUUCUUUGUUAGGAGGAAGAUAUUACUAAUGCUAAUUUGAGGUCAUGAAAUCCCUCAUUCCAAUGACAAUUAAUUGUCCAAAAAGAAGUCAAGCUUAGAGAACUGCAAGAUUCAUGAAGCUCACAUCGUUCAAUAUUAGUUCGGUAACACGCAACUGAUCAGCAAUGCCACCCUCUACAACCGUCUGCAAGUCAAACAAUAAACAACAUUUUCAGAAAACAGUAAACAGUAUGAAAAGAUUUGCACGACUCGAAGUGUAUUGCCUUCACACACAAAAGCAAACAGAGCUUUUCCUAUAUUAUAUACGCUAUACCUUAUAAUUUUUACAUGCUUUUUUUUUUGCACCCAAGGGUGUGGCCUAGUGGUCAAUGAAGUGGUUGAGAACCCUAAGGCCUCAGAUUCAAAACUCAGCAGAGAAAAAAAAAAAAAACUAGGUGAUUCUUACCAUCUGUCCUAGCCUUGUCCAGCCUUGGUGGACAGAGUUACCUUGGUACAUGUUGCUAGUGGGAUGUAUCCUGUGGUAUUAGUCAAGGUGUGCAAAAGCUGGCCCGGACACCACGGUCAUCAAAAAAGAAUUAAAUGUUUUUUUGGUUAGUAUUGAGAAAGCAAUCCCCACCCCCGCCUGUUGAUUACUAAGGCACACCCUCAAGUGCAACUUAGAGAUUUGGUAAUUAUCAAGGCAAUAUAAGAAAAAGACAUUUCAACUAUUUUAAGAUAAUAAAUGUUGAAAGGAUGACAAAGAUAAACCUUUAAUAUCAAGGGAAGCGUAGAAAGCUCAACGGGGGGUAACUCCUUCAAAUCACUGUUGACACUAUGAAAUGUCUCAUCUGAAAAUAGUAAAAGAAAAGAAGAAAAGAAACAAAUAAGUCAUGCACAUAAAACCUUUUUCCAACAGGUAUGAAAAAAUUAGUCAACAAAAAUAUCAAUAGUUAUUUGUAAGCACAAGAGAGCCCAAUGAUAGGUGUCCCAGAAGUAGGAGAGAAACUGUGUGGACCUAUUUUUGUAAAAGGCAGCAAUUUAUUCUUUCCUUGUCAUCAUCCUUCUAAAUUUUACUCUUCUUUUCCAAAAACACUCAAGACUACACCAUGUGUUAUCAUGUGACUCGUGUCUCUCCACUGGAGGAUCUCUGCUAAAGGUGGACAGCAGAACAUACCCUCAAAACCCCCAUUUGUCAGUUAAUUGAAAAUGUCGAAAAUGAAAUGUGAACUUGAGAAACAGACUUGGUAAUAUCUCUGGAAGCUAAUUUCUAUAUUUUGUAAUUAAGCAGGAGUACAAUAUCAAUACAUAUAAAGUUAAAAGUGAUCCUUGACAAUUAACACUUCGCCAAGAAAAUAAGAACAAAGGAAGAACUCUACCAGUCAAACGACAAAAUACACAUAACAAAUCAUUACAGAUUUAUAUAUCUUAGCUUCACGCCUAAGCAAUAGAGUAUAUCUGUAUAGAAGAACACCAGUAUACAAGAAGUAUACCAAAAAGUAGAAAAGCUUACAAAAAGAUAUGUCUUUCUAUGAAUGGCACCUAUUCUUUUUAUUUUUAAGUUUAUAUACCGAGAAAUCCAUCUAGAGCACAACCCUUAAGACAAACACAACCUUCAAAACUAGAGAGAUGAUGGGCACACCCUCCACCCUUCUCCAUUUAAAUACUAGGCUUAGGCUUGGCAUAAGGCUUGACCCCAUGACCUAAGCCACAAUCUUCCUCAACCUUUACCAAGUGAGCUAAGCUGUGCAGGGGAACUUACAUUUAAUCUUCUAUACCUACAGCAACCUCGUGGGUGCACCAAAAGGAAAUAAAGAAUAAGAAGAUAUUUCUCAAGUGUAAAAAAUCCAUCUCUAUUCCAUCAAAAGCUCUUAUAAUUUUCUCUCCUCAUAUAGUACAUAUAAGUAUUAGUGAAGUAACAUCGCAUGCCUUGCAUCUUCUCGUUUGUCUAGGACAAGUCUAGCUAAAUAAUACUUUUUUGAAGGAGAAUUUCUAUAGCAUGCUAUUUCUCAAUGCAUCCAGAGGAUUGCGGUGAAGCAACCCAAUAUCGUCAAUAACACAUCUCGUUUGACUCUGCCUAAAAUCAUCAAUAAUGUGCCUUAGAUAAACUAAUUUUGGUUCCCAGCAUCAAAAUUUAUACAUAUCAUGACAAUAGCAAUUAAGUGUUUAAUAAUAGCAACUGAAUUAUUCGUCGGGAAACAUUUUCAUGCUAAAUCAUGAUAAUUGCAAUUGAGUUUUACAUUUCCUGUUUGGCUAUUGAACCACAUAAUGCUAACCCAAGUAGAUUAAUCUCAUUUCAUUUUGAUUAAUUGGAGAACAAUAGACCGAAACUUUUCAAUGUACACACUGCAUAUAUCCUCAUGGGGCCAGAAAUAUGACUAUUCCCACGUGAGUACUAUAUUCACAGACAAACUUUUGAAACUCAGCAUCAUGGGAACUCAAUAAUGUUCCAUUUGUCAAGUGUACAAAAAGAUUACUCUAUAGACUCACUGUUAAGACUACUGAAGUGCAUGUUCCUUUGCACGCUACAUAUAUGGUCCCUACAAAAAACAAAAACAAAAAAAAGACAAGAUGUUAUCUGCUGGUGUUUCUAACAGCUUCUAUAAAAUCUAAGCAACCUUAAUACAAAUAGAUUAAGGAUGGUAGUAUAACCAAGAAAAGAGGAGAAAAAUACAAAAUCAAUUUCCAAAAACUUGCCAUAUAUAGGAGCAACCAGUCGUCUCUUGAAAGCUAAGAGCUAGUUCAGUUGAAUAUUCCGGAUCCCUCCAAGAUAUAAUUGUAUCUGAAUAGAAGAACAUGUUUUCUCAUGAAACUGUACACUAACAUAACAGAAGUAAUAAACAGGAAGAAAGGAGACAAAACUAUGGAGCUGGAGGACACCUUCUUGCUUCCGAUAGAUAUCAUCUGCACUGAUACGGUGCAGAAGCAAAGUCUCAUGAUCUUCUUCAUCAGCUACAAGCAAUCCUAGAUCUUCUGACCUCUGCAUUGACAUCCACAAUCAGAUGCAAUAAAAAUUAACCCCUCCCAAUCAGUGCAAAUGACACGUUAUUUGCCGACACAAACAAAAUGGCAUAAGCUGAACAUCAAUAUUCCACGAACACUUACCUCUAUAUAAUCUACAGUAACAUGACCUGUUCCUUGAUCAUCCCAUUUCCCAUCGUCAUUCAGGCGAUAGACCUUUACACGCUGCAGUGCAGAUGAGACAAAGGUUAAUAUUACAGAAUUGAUGUAAUACAAGAACAGAAUAACGACCAACAGCAAAGCUAAACAUAUUAGCAGGUAAAGCUGCUUAAAGUUCCUCAGCCUGUAAAGAAAUCAUAGUUGAGACACGGCAGGAAGUUUCUUCUUUCUUAGAGGUUUGUGUGUGUGUGUGUGUGUGUGUGGGGGNNNNNNNNNNNNNNNNNNNNNNNNNNNNNNNNNNNNNNNNNNNNNNNNNNNNNNNNNNNNNNNNNNNNNNNNNNNNNNNNNNNNNNNNNNNNNNNNNNNNNNNNNNNNNNNNNNNNNNNNNNNNNNNNNNNNNNNNNNNNNNNNNNNNNNNNNNNNNNNNNNNNNNNNNNNNNNNNNNNNNNNNNNNNNNNNNNNNNNNNNNNNNNNNNNNNNNNNNNNNNNNNNNNNNNNNNNNNNNNNNNNNNNNNNNNNNNNNNNNNNNNNNNNNNNNNNNNNNNNNNNNNNNNNNNNNNNNNNNNNNNNNNNNNNNNNNNNNNNNNNNNNNNNNNNNNNNNNNNNNNNNNNNNNNNNNNNNNNNNNNNNNNNNNNNNNNNNNNNNNNNNNNNNNNNNNNNNNNNNNNNNNNNNNNNNNNNNNNNNNNNNNNNNNNNNNNNNNNNNNNNNNNNNNNNNNNNNNNNNNNNNNNNNNNNNNNNNNNNNNNNNNNNNNNNNNNNNNNNNNNNNNNNNNNNNNNNNNNNNNNNNNNNNNNNNNNNNNNNNNNNNNNNNNNNNNNNNNNNNNNNNNNNNNNNNNNNNNNNNNNNNNNNNNNNNNNNNNNNNNNNNNNNNNNNNNNNNNNNNNNNNNNNNNNNNNNNNNNNNNNNNNNNNNNNNNNNNNNNNNNNNNNNNNNNNNNNNNNNNNNNNNNNNNNNNNNNNNNNNNNNNNNNNNNNNNNNNNNNNNNNNNNNNNNNNNNNNNNNNNNNNNNNNNNNNNNNNNNNNNNNNNNNNNNNNNNNNNNNNNNNNNNNNNNNNNNNNNNNNNNNNNNNNNNNNNNNNNNNNNNNNNNNNNNNNNNNNNNNNNNNNNNNNNNNNNNNNNNNNNNNNNNNNNNNNNNNNNNNNNNNNNNNNNNNNNNNNNNNNNNNNNNNNNNNNNNNNNNNNNNNNNNNNNNNNNNNNNNNNNNNNNNNNGGGGUGUUCUAAACAAAAUAUACAAAGAUAGAGCUACAAGAAUGUAGAAGAAUAUCUACAUUGGUCUCCAGAAAGGCACACAGAACAAAAGAUGCUACAAACUACACAAAUAUUCCAAUCCUUCCUGCACACCUGAAUUGGAGACAAUAUUUCAGCUGGGAACGACAAACCAAACUUAGUUCCCUCAUGUAACGAAUUUGCACCUUAUAAAAAAUAACGGGUAGCCUAAUCGUGCCUUAAUUAACUGUAGUACAUCUUUUAUUUUAAUAAAAGAGACAUCACAUAUCCUUUUUUUUCUGCAGAAAACUGGAUAGAGUUUAAUACCCAAAAAAAAAAAAUCCUUUUGAGAGAAGGUAAUUGUAGUUUAAUGCCCAAUCUCACAUCCAACAGAAUACAAUUACUCCCUCCACGACAAGUAUCAGAUGGUCAAGUUACUGGUAUAAGAAUAGGAAAUGCAAUAACCAUCUAUAUUUUCAAAUGACCUAACCAGGUAAUAUCCUACAUCAGCAUAAGGUCACCUCUACUGUUAUGUCGACUGAUACACACAAAGAAAUUUUACCAUUCUAACAAACUCUACACUAAAUGUGGCUCUUGAUAUCAAUCUGUUGAUCAACAAACAUGUCACAAUUCCAAUACAACUAGAGUAAGCUAUGAAGAUCCACAAUAUCCAUUGGCUCAUUCCAAUGCUAAAUAAAAUGCCUCAGACAAAUUAGGCUCCCUAAAUGAAUCUUAACUAUUUGGUACCACCUUUAAAUAUUCUUUAAAACAUGAUAUUCUAUUCUUAGCUACUGUUGCAAGUCAAGAGCAGAAGCAGACGGAGAAUCAUAACAACCAGCAUAUGGUGGACUAUUUGGAGGGAAAGAAAUCCUAGGUUUUAGAGAAAAUAGAGAAUAGUAUACACACACACACACAUAUAUAUACAUAUAUACACACACACACAAAGUUACAAUUUUCCAAAAAACAAAAUAGCAAGUUUGCCAAAGCUUCUGGGAAACCCAAAGUGCUUAUUUUAUUUAGAAAUGUUUUUGAGUAGUAGCAGAAGUUGUUUUUCAGAAGCUGAAAAAGUUUUUUUUCUCUGAAGCACUUUUGAACAAAUUGUAGAUCUAAUAAUGGCCAAAGGAUUUGAAAAGACUUCCCAAAUGAAAUUUCCAGACACAAACUGCUAUUUUUUUUAUGAAGUAGAGGCAUAUAAAUAACAAAAGCAUCGAGGAAAUGCGUAGGUUACAAAAUAAAGGAAGAACAAUCUGUCAAAAGACAAGGGAGCUGAUAAAUUCCGUAAAAGAGUAUGGGCUAUUCUCACUUGAUCGGAAAAAAAAAGUCAAGGCUAUUCUCCAAAAGCUUUUUUACUGCAAAAGCACUUUUGAUAAAAAAGCACUUCUCAAAAUAAGCAGAUUAUGGAAGCUUUACAAACAGGAUUAAGUCUUCAUUAAUUCUGAGAGGUUUUCGGCAUUUUGAGGGAACUUCCAAUGUGUGAUUAUAGGUUUCUCCCCCUCCUUUUAUUACUUUUUUCUUAAUAAGUAAUGAAAAGUUCUCCUUUAUUACCUUCAAUCCUCUUAUUGUUAAACACCUACCAAUCAGUGGAUUUGGAGGUUUAUGCAAGAUAAGACCUAAUAAUCUCUAGCAAUCUUCUCCGAUUUCGUCCUCUAUAUUUGCUCUUUCCAUCUUCUACCAGAUCUAAACAAUUUUCAUAUUAUUUUUUGAUAAAUAAAUAGAGCACAAAAAUUCAUGUCGCCGAAAAUGGAUCAUUUCUAAUAUGUCCAAUCUUGUAUUAUCGUAAACCAUCUCUUCAUUAUACAGAAGAAAAUAUUAUUAAUGUACAAGGACAAGCACUAAACUAAUGUUGGACAUAACAAAAUGGGAGGCCCAUAUAUACAAAAUACAAAUACAAAUCAUAUGACAUUCAUCGUGUGGACACAUUAAGCCUCGGACACCCACAUUUACACCCAUAUGUCAUUGUUGUUUCCAUAUAAUCGUGUUGGUCUCACAACAGCUUUAUAAAUUUGCAUAAAAUGUUGUUAGGUAUCAUCUUCUUUUUUGAGAAUGAUAUGCUGCUAGGUAUCUUUUGGUCGUAUAGUAGUCUUGUAAUACUCCAUUUUUCAACCAUAUUUUUUUUAAUGACCGUGGUGUCCGCCCAGCUUUCGUGCACCUCGACCCAUUUCAACCAUAUUAUUCUAAUUCAAUGUGUUACAUCUUCAUCUAUGAUCCAUCACAUCAUUCUUCCGGAAGACUAAAGCCCACACAUUUAGGUUGUCAGCAUUUAGGCACAAACAAUCCUAAAUUAUCUAAUUCACGAUCAUUCUUCUUAUCCUAAAACCCUUGCACAAUAAAGUGCUUCUCACAACCAAACUUCCAGCCUACUCCUUCACAUGUUAAACUUCAAACAAUCUAUCAAAGCUAUACAUCUCCACAAAAAUCAACAUCAGCUAGCCAGACUUGUUCAAUUUAUGCCCUCGUUUAUCCCAGACAUUGUUUAACCUCACAAAAGGUGGAGGAUGUUGAAUAUUGUGUGUCAAUACAAAGACAAAAUUGAUUCUUUCUUUGAGCAGUGUAUUAAGACAAAAAUAGCUUUGUGAUCUAUCACAUUAAGUUCGCUUUCUUGUUCCCUCAAUAACAUAACAAGAUCCCUAAUGAGACUGUACACAAUUUUCAAUUCUUUUUUUCCACAAAAAAUCCAGAUGGUAUGGGAAAAUUUUCUCCUGAUGCCUAACGAAAAAGUUGACUUUUAGAUUCUAACAUACAAAUCAAUAAUGCAGGUCCACUUUCAGUAAGACUGAUCAGUACCGAAACAACAUAACUUAGUCUAAUAUCAACUGCGGAGGGAUGAAUAUUAUAGAUAACAAAACCCAUAAGAAUUCAACAGGAUACAAAGCAAACAUAGAAGACAUAAUAUUCCACCUUGCCACAAGUACCUUCUGAAAUGAAACUGAACCAAAACAUAAAUGCUAGAGUAGCACUGCGGAAAAAACCCAGCAAAUAUGAUUUUUUGAGCUCAGCUACCUUCAUACAAGCCCCAAGGCUUUGACAUGUGUCCAAAAGUGAAAUACUUUUUUGGUAACGGAUAUAUUCUGAGACAGGUUAUGUAUUUCUAGCUCAAACGGAAAGACAACAACAAAGCAAAUUCCCCUCGGACCCACUUCAUAAAUACUCAUACCUAGAAAUCCCCUAAACCAAUGACUCAGUUUGAAAUUCACUGUAUAAUUGGCUUUCUCCACGAUAAAAGAAAAAAAUUGACUCCAACUCAAAAUAUAGCCGGUACCAGGUCCCAAGUCCCAAUAAAGAAGUUUCACAAUACCUUAGCAGCCAAAAUGCACAAUACACAGUCAAAUUCUAGUUAAAUAUCCAAUUCCAGCUAGUUCAAAAUUGAGACGUAAUCAAUUCCAUGAUAAUUGAUUUCAAAGGGAAAAAAAAAGCUAAAUCAGUGUGACUUUAGUCUUUGGGGUUACAAAGCAAAGAAGCGAUUUUCGACUGAUGAAAUUCUGUAUUUCUAGCUCAAAUGCGAAGACAACAACAAAAGCAAAUCCCCCUCGACCAGUGGCUCAUAUUCAAAAUUCAAUGUAUAAUUGGCCCGCCCCCCUACUCCUCUCCACUUCAUAAGCACGUUUAUCAUACUUCUUACCUCAAUUUUCAAACCAAUAAAAAAAAAGUAACCUCACACUCAACCUACAGAUGCAAAACAUAUCCUGUCCCAAUAAAGGAGUUCCACCUUACCUUAACAGCUAACAUAAAAUAGUUAAACUAAAAUCACAUAUACUCAAAAUCUAGCUAGUUCGGAAUUGAGACGUAAUCAAUUCUGUAUUAAUUAAUUUCAAAGAAACAAACAAAAAAGGAGCUAAAUCAGUGUGAAUUCAGUCCUUAGGGUUAUAUAAAGCAAAAGGAACGAUUUUUCCAAUUGAACAAUCAACAAAACUAACCUGCAUCGGAUUACUAGAGUUUGAUGACUUCUCUUGAGCACCCAUAGAAACUUCUAGAACCCAAAUUUCACUGUGCCUGCUGUUUUCGGGAGAAUGAUUGAAAUUAGGGUUUUUGAGUUGCAAAAAAAGGGGAAAGAGAGGAAGAGAUAGAAAUGAAGUAUUUGAGGUUAUUUUGGGUAUAAAUUCGGGAUCAAUUCAAAACCCUAACCGCCAUUGAUGAGUAGUGAAUCUUCUCUCUUUCUCUCUCUUCUUUCUCUCUCUCUUCGUUUCUUUUUCUUCUGAAGUGUUCGUGCCUGACCUGACCUUUGGGAAUACAGAAGCAGUACAUUUGUUGAUUGUACAAAAUGACUUUAAUGCCCUUAGAUUGUGAGAAAAAUAUUGGAAUUGCCACUGAUGAAAAAUAAUUUAUAAAAUAUUUAUAUUGAAAAAACUAAAAUAUAUUUAUAAUAAAAAAGUGUCCGGAUUCGUAUAGAGUAAUAUGUGCACCACUUUUUUAGAAGCUUUCGGCUUAGAAGUUUGUUCGGCCUUCUUUUUGACUCAUCCUUUGUUAUUGGCUUCAGAUACACCGCCUUAGGAUUUGGUGUGCUCGUUAAGGUUUUUUCACCAUUGUAGUGAAAGAAAAACGACUAUAAUAUUAUAUUUAUUACGAUUCAAUCUCAUAGCAUGUAUUGUUUAUUUUGGUCGGAUGAAUCUCGCAAAUUUGUCUAUUAGACAACAUUAUAGCCCAAAAGUGUGUGUACCUAUGAACUUGUCGUACGCAUUAUCAAGUUAUGCACUUUCAUCUCUCCUUCUGACGUGAGAUUCACCUAAAGUGUCAUGUACAUUGGUUUACCCUCCAAAUUCACGACAUUGCCUACCUAUUUGAUCAAAGUGUCUUACAAUUUAAUAACAAUAACAUAUUUAUAGUCUCGCAAAUAAGGUUUGAGGAGAAAGGUGUAUUUAUCGUCUUUAAUGAUUAAAUUCACACUUUAAACUAAAUAUGAUGACCAUCAUAUUGCCAUUUUGGUCUUUUCCACAUGGACCAAAAAGAUCUGUCUAUAAAAACAAAAUAUCUUGUAUUGCUAAGUUGAUUCUUUAGACAUAAAAAUAUAUUGGACCAUCCUUAACAACUUAAAAUGUGAAUGAUAUACACAUGUGAAACAAAUAAGGAAAACUAACCUUAACUAACUUUUGGAACACCAUUAAUUCAUCAUUAUCAAAACUCAAAAAAGAAGAAAAAAAUAUUUUAUUAGGUAUGCAAUAAUAAUCUAUAGUACUAAGAAAAGGGCCCACUAUUCAAGUGUUAAAAGAAGAAUGGAGCCUCACACAACUAUUGUUGGUUGAGCCACUAUCAUUAUAAAAAAAAUUCUCAUAUUUCGCUAAACUUUUAACUCACUCAAUGACAAUAAAUCACACAAAAAUUUAAAAAUACAAGAAGAAGAAGAGUAGAAGAUUAAAAACAAUUGUUGUUGAAAAAUGAGAGAAAGUCCCUCUAUUUAUAGUCAACAAAGGGUAGUAUAAACAAAUUUUUUUGUGUCUUAUCUAAAAAGUCAUGACCUUUUAUGAGAAAUUACAACCCUUUCGAAAAGUCAGAACUUAUUGAAAAAGUCACAAUCUUUGGAAAAAUCACAAUUCAUCGAAAAAUCACAACCCUUUGAGAAAAAUCACAACUCAUAUGAACAAAUGUUUUUGUAUCUUAUCUGAAAAGUCAUGACCUUUCCGAGAAAUCUCAACCCUUUGAAAAAGUUACAACUUAUUGAAAAAGUCACAACUCUUUAGAAAAGUCACAACUCAUCGAAAAAACUCAACAAUUUGAGAAAAGUCAUAACUCAACAAAAAAGUCACAACCUAAGUUAGGGAUAUUAUAGUAAUUUAACAUUCAAGUUAGGAGNNNNNNNNNNNNNNNNNNNNNNNNNNNNNNNNNNNNNNNNNNNNNNNNNNNNNNNNNNNNNNNNNNNNNNNNNNNGUUAUAGUAAAUAGUAUUUGCUUAUUUAAGCGAAGAUUUGAAUAAUAAGCUUAGCAAAACAUAAUACUCCAUCCGUUUCAAAAAGAGUGACCUAGUUUGACUUAACACGAAUUUUAAGAAAAUAAUGAAGACUUUUUAAAAAAAUUAUCAGUUAAAUGCAAUUAUGUAUACAUUUAUUUUAAUUUGAUGAGAUUCAAUCAUGUAAUUAGUCUUAUCUCACUAAUAUUACCUUAUAGAUAAUAUUUGUUUUUGCAUUUUUCUUGUCAUCUAACCAGAUGUGUUUUGCAUGUGUAUUCUACCUUAAAUUGUUUAGAUAUCAUAUGAACAUGUGAAGAGAACAACUAUAUUUUAUAUAUUCACAUAUUUUCACAUUUGUUGUGAGUUUUUUUUUUUUUUUUUAAAGAACUCGAAACAUUUUGAAAUAACAUAUUUUGAAGUAAGAAGAUCUCGUUAACUUGAUAACACAUUUGUGACAUAUAUAAUACUUUAAUUUAAAUACAAAUACAUACCCAAAUUUAAAUAUAUAUUUGCAUAAAUGAAAAUAUCUAUCUCAUAAAUUAGGUAUUAAAUAAAAAAUAAAAAAUAAACUAAUAUAAACUUCAACAUGCGUUAUUACAAGUCAUAUGAACUUUUCUUCGUCUAAAAUACUAAAAUAUUAAGAAAUAGUAAAUAAGUAAAACAAAAGAGCAAUGUUUAUUUAGUACUAUCUAUUUUGAACCAAACUUCCUGAAAGUCUAAAUCACAUGAAUAACAUUGAUAAAUAUAUUCAUUCUUUUGUCUUGAGCAUCAAAAACAAAUCGCAACAAUUCUCUAAAUUUGAGAAAAAGAUAUUUAGAAGCAUAUAUCUACAUCAUAAGAGAAAUUGUUAACAAAAACAAAUAAAUUUAGACUACAUAAUGGUAACUUCAUAUAUAUGAACAUUACAUACUAAUGUAUAUAUUAAGAAAAACAACAAUUAUUAUAUCAUCAAAAUUAUAUUAUUUUCCUCAAGUACUCGAGGUUAUGGACACUUUGAAAAAGUCACAACCCUUUGAAAAAAGUCACAACGUUAAUUAGGAAUAUUAUAGUAAUUUAACAUUCAAGUUAGGAGUUCAUGCUUUUAAGGUAAUAUAGAUAUAGAUUAGAAACCUGGUUGAAUUACCUGGUAUGCUAGUCAGUUAAGGACACUGUUUUUCUAGGAUAAACAAGAAAGCACUGAAAGAAGUGUUAAGUUCCAUAAGAUGGUUAACAGAAUGGAAAUUUUAGCCCAUAUUUGUAUAGCUCAAUCUAACUUUCAACAAGUGCUAUUUCUUUUGCACUACUGAGAUUAUACUCACCAAUCUGAUUGCAGAUUAGGACUCUAUCAAAGAGCCAUACCCAACACUAACAUAAAUAAGAUCUAUAUGUAUCAUUUCUCCAGUGCAGAGAAAACCUUAGGACGAUAGUUUUCAGCAUGCAUAGUUGGAGCUCAACAAUGGAUCACAUAGCUUAAACUUAAGGAAGACAAUUCACAUAUGCAGGAAAACAAUUAUCUCGAAUAAGCAAAUCCAUAAACCAGAUGACGUUCCACAAAAGACUAUACAUCAACAAAUCAGAUAACACUAGUUGGAGUCUGCUAUGUGAAUCCUCCAAAUUGAUUCAGCCUUCUUCCAUCUUCCCUUUUCAGUCCAACUAAAUAAUUGUAUUUUAAGACCAACUAGAGAUUUUCUAAAUUAUAAUAACAAAUGAUAAGGCUGAAAAACACGCUGAUUGCACAAGUGACGAAUUGCUAAAUAAGCAUAACAUGAAUUGCAAGGGUAGUGGCGUUAAUGUAAACUGUUUCCAUUGAAAGAGUAAUAGAUUAAUAGUCAAAACAAGGUUGCAUACUAACUCAAGUAUCCACUACAAAUACCAAAACAUCAAACAAAGCUUCAACAAACUCAAAGAUUGCCUGUCAUAAUGAAUAGCUCAUUACUAUAACAAUUCAUUUACUUUUCAGCAGAUUCAACAGUCUUCGGGUUGUGCUUCCUAGCAUACCUCUGGUUCCUCAAAAACUUGGGAUCCA